GGAGGUGGUGGAGGUUGGCACGCGGCGAACUUGAUGGUGACCCUGUGCUACCUCUCCCUGCAGGUGCGCGGCCGCUUCCAUCAGCACUGCCAUGAGCGCAUCCUGCCCCACACAUUUGUUAUGCACAUUGUAGCGCUUGAGCAGCAAAACAAAUUUGUGGAUUGCCAGCUAAAUCAGGUUCUCAGCGAUGAUUCAGGGGCAACUCGAUCAGACGUUGCACCUGAUGAUACGGCACUAUCACCUUGUAGUCAGAUUGAUUGGUUAAUCAAAGGUUAACCGCCUUCCUCCAAAUUGAAUGGAUCGUAACAGACGUAACGAGCAGGAAAAGCCAUAUAAACGGGUACAGUAUGAUUUCAUUAUUCCAUCAGCCCAUCAGGUGGGACAACUUCCAAAGGCAUCAUAGGAAUUUUAGAUUGCAGAGCAAAUCCUAUGAUGACACCAUAGGAAAAACUGCUCAAGUUGCGAAGCUAUAGGAUUAUACAAAGCCAACAAGUUUAGGCCUAUUCAAAAAUUGGCAAAACAUGCCCUGGCCGACAAGCAUAGGCUGCUUGUCUAAUCGUCCAGCUCGAUGAUCUUCACAACAGAUGAAUCUCCCACCUUCUGGCAAACGACAACGCGAUCAUGGGACAUGGUUACACCCGAAGCUUUGCCGUGGUCAAGAGCAACCUUCAGAACUGACUGGUAGAUUCAGCCUGAAAGACAAAGUAGGAUCAGCAGUAAGGCACAAGUCACCACCCAGUCAGAGUAGGAAUAAUUUUAGCAACCAAGCUAACCAAGCUCAAGCUGUCGGAAUUAGCAUAGAAGCUCCAAACCAGCAAUAAAGAAUUCAAGUGUGUGCUUCCCAUACCCAAGAACUUUAAAGGUGAACAAAUAUGUAGUGCAUGUUCACAGUUCAUGUAGCCAAUAAAAGAAACUUACUGGACGGCGUGGAUCGGCAAGCAUUGGAAAGAGGCCUCUAACUAUGAGCGAUUGUCUUGCCUGCAGAAAAAGAAUACAAAAAUAUGAGCUUACAUCACCUAAAAUGAGCACGUGUCUUUAUACAAAGUACAAAAAGGUAAAUUGUAAGGUUCUUCCCUACUAUUUCCAUAGAAUGUUAAUGUAGACAUGUUUGCAACAGAACCACGAGCGCACUUGUGCCACGAGCUCGACGCGGUCGUGGAGCUCUACCAGGCCCUGCGCCGCGACAGCCGCGGCGGGCACCGCGCGGCGAACGGCGGAGGGGAAACAGCCCGCCGCUUGGCGCGGCAGAGGCAGGAGGUCGAGCGCCUCGGGGGGCCUCCCUCUGGAACCGCAGCUUCGACUACGCCGUCCGCACUGCUCGCUAGGUCGCUCUUCACCAUCGUGACGAGGAUCACAGAGGUGUUCGACCUGGAGCCAACGAACAUCUCAAUCUCCUCCAUGGAUGACGACUCCAACUCCAAGGUCUCGCGGCUUUCAUGGAGCAGCUCGUUCAUGAGCAACAGCAUGCAUGCAGUCCAUGGUGUACCCUUCCGAUGUCGUGGCCGUGGACACUAGUCCUCAGAGGAUGCUGCGUGCAAGAUCCAGCAAGACUACCAGCGGAUCAUCACACGAACACGAGGCCUUCGACGUCCGUGUUCAAGUUCACGCAUGACGUUCUGACCAAUGCGCCGGUGACGUCCCUCGGUGCCGCCGCCCUGGCGCUGCACUACGCAAACCUCACCAUGCUCAUGGAGAAGCUCGCCAUCUCACCUCACCACAUCUGCUCCGAUGAGAGGGACAACCUGUAUGGCAUGCUGAUGGACAGACAGGUUCCGAGCAUCUCUUAGAGCAUGCCUCAAGCCGUUCGAGUCCUUCCAAAGGCUGGAGCCCAGCGCAUUGAGCGGGCUGCCCACCGGGACGAGCUGCGUAUGGGCUUGCGUAUUUGCAGUUUCCCUGCUGCCUCCUCAUUGGCCUGCAUCUUUGGGUCCACCUGCACAGCCUCACAGCUAGCUCCUGGAUUAGAUCCAAUCACACGGCAACCCUUCGGUGCCUCUUUCUAGAAACAACCAUGCGUGGCGGCAGCGUAGGUUUUGACGCUAGGUCAAGCGACGGCGGCGACCACGGAGACCAUGAUGGCGGCUCGAUGGACACACCCACGGCUGCUUCCUCCGAUGCCAUACGCAAGCGCACCGUGAUGCCGCCUCCUUCAUCCACGCAUCCAUCUUGCACGCUUCAUCAUCUAGUGUCUGCUUCACAAGAGAGGCGCCAACCUACUAAGGAAGCCGUCGUCCAGGAAGAUGAUGGUGACGACUAUGGUGAUGGCUCAGGGAUGCUACGUUUUCUCUACAGCAGGUACGUAUACAUAGUAUAUGCUACUGUUGGUGUUAGUUUGUGCAUGUGAUGGGUAUCGGCCCGAUCGAUCCGAGGGUUGUAUACAUUGUAGAAAUUGUAUACGUUGUAGAAAUUUUGACAUGCUAAUCAAGAUAGAAGUAUGCCUUCUGGAUUAACUUUUCUACUUAGUAUAAAGAGAUCUAUAAUAUUUAUAUUUGGAUUAGUAUCUGGUUAUUCUUUUCUAAAAUUUAAGUUUAUUCAAUCAUCACCUGCUGGCACAAUAUUUUUCCUCUGAUAAUCCUUUAUUCUAGCCUUUAUAUAGGGUGUGUUCUCACCUAAAAAUUACUAGGUGAUUGCCCUCUGCGUUGCUGUAGGAAUUUAAAGGAUGAUUUCGAUACGCAUUGUGUAUGAACAAAAAGUAUAUACGCAGGACAAUGGCAGUUCCAAUAAUUAUCAGUCAUAUUCUUUGCACAUCUUAAAUAAUUUAAAUUUCAGUGAUAUUUAUAUGCAUCAAUAAGCAGUCCUAAUUUCAUCAGCACAACAUCCUGAACCUGCUAACAUACUGUUACGCCCUCACUAUUUAUAUUGCCUGAUGCAUAUCUAAUAUACCACACUGAUUUAGAUCUAUAUAAUCUAAACUAAAGAUGGAUGGCUGAAACGUAGUUUUCAAUAUAUUAGAAGCAUUUACAUGAUGUCAGAUGUUCGGUUUUCUAAGUUUGAUCAGUCGACGCUAGUAGAGAAAUUAUUAAUCAAAGUUUCAUCAUAAUGAGAAAAAUGUUACCUCUUGUAUUGCAAUCACAUUUUGCUAAUUUUGUUAAAUUCAAGUGUAAGUAAUAUCUUACACCACACAAUGAUAUCUUUUUGCUCUAUUGCACACAGUGAACCAUUGACGGGUGAGACAUGGAAAAUUUGUUUCCAACGCAAGGGGAAACCUGAGGACGACGAAUUUGUCGACAUUGAAGUAGACAGAGCUCAUAUCUCAUUUUAUAACCUGGUAUACUUCAAAGAACAGCUUGGGUAUGGAGCCAGGGACUUCUUAUACUACAAGAAACAUUGCAGUAGGGAUGUAGCUAAACUUCAGGCCAUCGAAUAUUUACGCCACGCAGAAGCAAUGCUACAGGACAAUGCUGCGGAGAGGGAAAUCAGGUUGGUAUUGUCAAGGGAGCUAGAACCAGAGGUAAAUAUCAGCAUAACACCAAUUAAGCAACAUGGGGGAAAGCGAAAACAUGAUCAAUCAGGUACAGAUGAAUACCUUGAUGCCUACAAGGUGUGGCUAGCAAUACUGCAAGCCAAAGAACCAGACAUAGGUAAGAUCAUUCUUUGCAUCACCGAUUCAAAUUGUUAUAACACAAUGUUGCUUUGACAAGUGCAUCUGGUUAAUCAUGACUCGCAGACUAAAGGGAUGACUUCAGGGACGAAACAAUCGAAACAUACAAGGAAUGGCUAAGGCAUACAGGCUGUCAUCGGCAUAUGCGUAAUUUAAUUGCUUUUAUGAUGUCAUCAAAUAUAUUACCAGCUCUUGUACAUUCAAUAAAAUAAUUGAUGCAUGGUGAUUUUUUUUUGCAGUGUCAUUAUUGAAAGAACAUACGGAUGAUGACCAUAUAACUGGAUGGGAGGAAAAUCAGGAAAGGAGCACGGCAAACAAAGAUAGGCCAACUCAUGCAAGAAAACCAAAACAACAAAGGAAUGGUAUGUGCUGGUCUUUCCAUUUUGCAUUAUACUCUUUUGCUGAUCAUAUAUUUUAUAUUGUUUCAUAUGUUAAUAAGGUGGACCCAAAACUUGUGGACGUGGAUGUCUCAAAGGAUAUAAAGCAGCUACAAAGAGAAUUAAGAGCAGAUCUCAGAAAUUAAAGAUCGAAUUUGAUUCCUUGCUGGGAGGCCCCUAUGGUGAGAACAGCCGCACAUUCGUGGAUGAGAUUGUAAUCUUUACCAGGAAAAAGGCUCCACUUAUAGGAGUGCAAUCGUGGAAGGAUGUGAAGGACAAUGUGAAAAUAGCAAUAGCAGAAGAAAUGAUGGUAAGUCAAUUGUUUUCUUUAGCCAAAUGUUAUGAAUUUAGUACCUCCGCUUUAAUGUUCUAUUUGUCUUUCCAUUCAAAUAGAAAAUUUGGGACUUAGAUGACAUUGAAGAUGCUACUGAAAAGAUAUGGGCAAUUGCCAAAGAGAGGUACAAAGGAUGGAGAGCUUCGUUUAGUUCGACAUACAAGGCAUAGUCCACUGACGCUCAACAAAUGAAGCAUAAGCCUGAAGAUUUAGACAACAUGGAGUGGUACUACUUGAUCCAAUAUUUUGGAAGUAAGCCAUUCCAGGUUCGUCGGUGUCCAAUUUCUUUUGUGAUUCCACUACUAAAAUAUAAUGUAAUUAACAGAGCACUGCUUGUACACCUUUUGCAGAAAAUUAGCACCAGGAACUCUGGAAUCUGACAGAAGGUGAAGACUAAGCAUCUCACAGGAUCAAAAUCAUAUUCCCAAAUUAGUUUUGAACAGGUGAUGACAACAUUAGCUAAGCUAAUUACUUUCUUAAAUGGUUGUUACCUAAUGCUAAAUUUUUGCCAUCUCAGAGAAACAAGGGUAAUGGCCAACAGCCUACUGAUUGGCAACUUUGGAUGACUACUCACACCAAGGAUGGGCAAUGGUCAAAUGAAGACUCUAGGGAUAUCUACGUGAGUGUUUGUAUAUGAUUGCACCUUUAAAAUUUUAGCAUGUUUCAAACUUAUUUUGGAACCGUUUGAAAUUACAUGCUUAUAAUUUAUUUCUCAUGUUUCACUAAGGAAAAUGCCUGCAUCCAAGUUACAGAGGCAGAAAAAGGGAAGGGUAGGCCGUUCCUUACGGUUGAGGAGGAAAACACAGUUUUCCAACUCAACUACUCUAAAACUCUUGGAAUAAAGUCAUAUAGAUGUCAUGGACGUGGAUACAUGGCGAAAUAUCCAACAAGAAAUGCUCUACUGAAACAUAGAGAAGAAGAUGCAACCCGUACAAAAGUUUUAGUUCGACAAGAAAGAAUGCAGCACCAACAAGAGGUUGAAGAAUUAAAAGAAAAGCUUGAACUUGAAGUUUCAGCAAGGGAAAGAGACAAGGAAGAAACUAAGAAACAAAUUGAAGAAAUCAGGGAAGAAUUUCGGUCAACACUACAACAACAAAUACAAUUAGCAUUGCAGCAGGUAAUAACUUUGGACCACGGUUCUCCUUUUUUGGCUCCUGUAUUUUAGCUAAUGUUCCUUGUCUUUUGGGUUGCGUAGGCUAUCCCAGGAACCAUCAACACCACACAAGUUCCAAACGGACCAAGUGUCAACAACAACUUCAUCACACCACCACGCAUAGAGGAUGCGACUAUAGAGGUAAUACAAAUACAACAAGGUUACUUACAGAAGAUGCAACAUGUUUACAAAUAAAAUGCAACUUGUUCACAUCAAAGCUUUCAUUUUGGCAGAAUAAUGAACCAGUAAGCAUGUUGACCACAGAAACGUUAGUUGAUGAAGGUACUACCAUGACAACAAAGACUAGUGCAACCAGGACUCUUUUUCAGAAAAAGAAUGGUUCCAAUGGGUCAUUGAAUUAUGUUUCUACCCAACAACUAUUGAGGACUCGUAAUCAAAAGAAAAACAGCAGGUAUGAAUACCAAUGUGAUUUGUCUUUGAAAUGGUGGGUAAUAUGCUUUGUAUGAUAUGUCAAUAGAGUUCAUCAAACUGGUGGGGAUCUUGUCAUCUCAAACGGUAUAUGAUAUUAUUGCAGAGUGUUCCUUAAUUUAGUUUAUAUCUUUACUAUGUCACUAUGAUCAUUUAGUUUGCACGUGAUUAGUUAUUCCAUGCACUUAAUCACCAAGGUUCCUAUAUUAAAUUAAUAAAUUAUAUGUGUUCAUGAAUUGCAGGAAAGCGUGGAUAGCCAAAAUAUUUAGAGAAAGCUUUAUGCCUAUAUGCUGGUGAUGGACAGCUAGAAGAAAGAAGAAUUAUAGAAAUUUUUAUUGGUGAUGGACGGUGCUGAUGGGGCAUGAAGGGAUCAAUAAGAGAACUCAUAUUUAGUUUUAUUUUAUUAUGCCAAACAUAGUUACAAACUUGUAGUUAGAGAUCAUGUUUAUUUUAGUAGUACUCUGUUCAUUGUGUUAUUACUUUGGUUGAGACAUAUAUUUGAAGUUAAUGAAGGUUUGAGUCCUUAUAUGUGAUGAUGAAAUAUAUACUUAUGGCAUAAUUAUUUUGUAACAACAAUUAAAUUUCUAGCUACAAAAUGAAAUUAAAAAGGUGCUGGCCAAAAUGCCCUCGUUGCAACAAACCACUACGCUACCACUGUUUGUUGUUGCAAUAUACAUUAUUGCCACAAACCUUAUGUGUUGCUAUAGGACAUGUCUACCACCAACAAUGAUUCGUUGCAUUUUCCAUCUAUUACCACCAACAAUGAUUCAUUGCAUUUUCCAUCUAUUACCACUAACAAUGAUUCGUUGCAUUACUUUUUAUUGCUGCCAGCAAGUGAACGUUGCAAUUGUGACUCUAGCCACCAAAUUUGUUACGUUGCAAUAUUUAUUUGAUGCAAUGGAGCAUAUUGCAUGGCAAUAUGGCCAUGUUCCCAUGUAACUCCGGGGUGACAAUAAACCUAUUUUGCGAUAAAUUUGUUCAUAGCAAUACUGUCAUAUUGCAGCCAUGUAUUUCAUUGCAACAAUAAUUCAUGCAACUAUUCUGUUGGUCGCAAUAUCCGUGCUUGCAACCAAAUCGCAGUUGUGUUAGUUUUUUUAUGUGCAUUGCAAAACCACCAUAUUGCAACACCACUCCAAAAGGAUGCAAAAACCUAUUGCACCAUUCCAAAUGCAACCACCUGUCAACGACCAUACAUAGAUGUAAUUGAUCCUUUUUACAACCAAAAUAGCCAUAUUGCAAACCAAUAUAGGCGUCAUGAUAGGGCUGGAUCCUAGUAGUGACUACUCCAAGGAAAUCAUGAAAAAUCAAAUUCAUAACCCUCUGAUAAGUAGCACCAGCAUUCUUCAAACUAAAAGUCAUAACGAUCCACUCAAACAAACCAACAAAUCCUGGACACACAAAGGCUGUUUUGGAUAUAUCCUCUUCGGCCAUAAAGAUCUGAUUAUACCCAGCGUUACCAUCAAGAAAGCUAAUCAUUCUAUGUCUAGAUGCAACAUUAAUAAGUACAUCGGCUAUAGGCAUAGGAUAUUCAUCUUUUGGUGAAGCUCUAUUAAGAUCUCUAAAAUCAAUGCAUACUUAGAGCUUACCCGUGCCCUUCUUCUCAAUAGGCACAAUAUUAGAAACCCAAUCAGCAUAUCGACAAUCCCUAAUAAACUUACAAUCAAACAACCAAUUGAUUUCUUCUUUCCCUCGGUCAUAAAUAAUAGGGUUAAAGCACCUAGCAGGUUGUUUAUGAGGCCUAAAACCAGGCUUAAUGGGCAGCCGAUGCUCAACCAGCUCACGGCUUAAACCAGGCAUUUUAGUGUAAUUCCAUGCAAAACAGUCGACAUACUCUUUUAAUAACUUUAUUAAAUCGUCCUUGAAAAUAGGCUCAAGAUUUUUGUUUACAAACAUCAGCCUUGGUACAAUACCAACACCAAUAUCCACCUCCUCUAAAGGAUUGGCCAGCAUGAACCCUCAUCCUAAUUUACUCAUAUCAUCAAGGUCCUCAAUGGCCUCACACAUAUCAUUCUUCCGCGCCCGAUAGUGUUCUAGCCUCUGCUACAACCACUCUAGAUUUACAUCCAUUACAUCAUAUGUGGUAAGUUAGCCGAUCCUCAGUCGGUUUUAAUACAGCAGCAACAAAACCAUCCUUUGUGCAACUAAUGUACCCGGUAUCAGAAUGAUCUACACAAGACAAGCAGUUGACAUUAUCGUGCACACCUAUGGUGGAACUAUCAGCCAUAGCAACACAAGCCGGCGUAUCACCAUGCACAAUCUCCACUUCGUCGCUGAUCCAUUGGAUUAAGAAUUAAUGCAAGGUAGAUGGGACACAUUGAUUUGCAUGAAUCCAAUCAUGACCCAAAAUUAAACUGAAAUUACCUUGGGUCUGGGCGAAAAAUAAAGCGGUAGCCAACGUCUUGCUCCCAACAGUGAGCUCCAUAGAGACAACGCCUUUAGUUCCCAUAUACUUGCCUCCUCCCACACUGCUAACAGUCAUGUUGGUCUUGACCAACUUCUCAUCUGAACCUCCCAAUUUCUUGAACAAGGAAUAGGGCAUUAAGUUGACAAUUGCCCCUCCAUCAACUAACAUCCGAGAAACUGGCUUCCCAUUGAUAUGUUCUUUCAUAUAUAGUGCUUUCAGAUGACUUUUAAUAGCUUUAGGCUUCUAGAACAUAGCUUCCUUAGGCCCAAAGUCAAGGUGAGCCAAAUCAUCUUCCAAGAUCUCAUGGAAUGCCGAGACAGCUAGCUUUUUGCCUUCUCGAGUUUGGCCUCAAGGCACGCUGCCUUUAGAUGAUACUCCUUGGCACGGAGGACCACGUCUACCCUCUUGAGAGCACACUCAACCAUACCCUGUCCACACCCCUGUCAAUAAGAGUUCAGCACAGUAAUCGCAUUUCAAGUAUACAUCCUAUGAAUCGGUCGGCAAACUUACGGUUAACAGAUGACAAAAGUCGGAGGCCACUUGCUGCAACUUGGCCCAAUCCUUCUUGUCCUGGGCUGCAUCCCUAGCAAGGGCAGCCGCAGAGAUGUUGAAGGAGUCAAGGUCAUCUCCUCCGCUCAAGGGGGGAAAAUCGGGCAAUGGAUCAUCCAUGAGCGCUCUAGCUUGCUAAAGAUUGGCCUCAGCGUCCUCCUCAUCCUCAACCUCGACAUCCUCCUAGGCCUUCCCCUCGACCUCAACGACCUCCUCCUCCACCUCCUCUGGGACCUCAGGGUCAGUCAUGCCAUCGUCGGCAGCCUUAGCACUAACCUCAACCAGUUGAAGCACAGGAUUCGGCACAACCUCUUGGGUCUGACCACCAUCGCUAGUUCCGACCUCUAUGGCCGCUGGCUGCUCGAUGGUGUGACCGUUAGUGGCCUCAGUCUGGCCCGAGCACUUCGUCAACUGUGCAGAGCUAUUCAGACCGCAUGCCAGUUCUGUACGGUCAUCACAAACAAGCAAUUUACACAAUAUCAGACCGCAAUCUUCAACAUAAAAAGCAUAAAGGCAGCAACACUUACAAAGUGCUCUUCUUCAUCAAGCGCAGCUGAGGAGGUGGAACGGUUACACCUUCCUUGGACUACCGCGCAUCUUCACCUUCAACACCUCCUUGAGGUGUGCCGCACAGCAGCAGUGGUCUUCGUAGGUUCCGACCCGUUGUCCUUAGCAGCCAGGGUCGGCGCAUCAGACCAGGUCGGCCAACGUUACUCAGCAAGGUUUUCUCCUUCUUCUUGCUAGCCAGCUUCUUCCUCUUCCCACUCGGCCGGGGCACCUUAGAAAGGGGCCGUUUUGCCAUAGCCUGCCGGGUCUGCCGACUAGCACCCUGACUCUCAUCGGCUGCGCUCCCAAGGCGGAAAAAUCUUGGGCAGCGCCGCUUGUGCCUCGCCUGGUAGUGGGGGCAGACAAAAGUAGACAAAAGCAUCGUCCUAAUCAAGUCAAUACCUCAAGUCAGAAACAUCACAAGUAAACAAAUGUGCACGAAAACAAAGUUGAAUCCAACCCUACAGGGGUGGGUGACGGCCUCUUCAGCGAGAAUGCCUUGGGGACGUCCCUAUUGUUGAUAAGUCCCCUAAAGAAAUCGCACGCCCGUGCAAUGACCUCCUCAUUGGGCACCUUGGCAGGGACUUGCUGAGUCGGAUCAUCUAAUCCUGGUAUUUGAUUAGCUACGUUGCCCUCUGACAGAAAUUGAUUCCAAUGGCCAUGGGUGUUAGCCCCCGUGCCUUCAGGUCGACGAUCUUCGCCAACAGCCCAUCAACCUAGACCUGUUCCUCCAUAGUCGGCAGAUUUUGCCACUCGGGCACUGACAUUGGCCAAAACCCGUACGCGGCGGCAACUCGGGCUUCUGAUUAACAAUAAUAAAUCACUCGGCAUGCCAUCCCUUGUGGGAAUCCUUCAGCUGAAGGUCAAAAUACUCGUGCACUCUCUUAGGGCGCAACGAGAAUCCAGCACCCCGUAUAACCCGAUCUUUCCUACCCUUGGUAUUUACGGGCUUCAAUUGGUAAAGGUAGCACCAUAUAUUGAAGUGUGGGGGUGUGCCUAAGUAUGCUUCGCACAGAUGAAUGAGAUAGAAAUAUCUAGGAUUGAGUUAGGGUUAAGAUGUACCAACUCAAUCUUGUAGUAAUGGAGGAGGCCUCGGAAGAAAUCCCCAGUGGGGAUCCCAAAUCCGCGCUCGAAGAACAGCACGAAGACCACCACCUCCCCCGUGUCCUCCGACGAGAAGUCCUGACCGGUGGUGGGCUUCCAGUCGAGCAGCUCCUGCGGAUCAAGGAGCCCAUGGUCGUUGAGGGCCUGGAUCUGCUCCUGCAUCAUCACGCUCUUCAUCCACACCAAGGAAGAAGAUGGAGCAUUGGGCUGCGCCAUUGCUUUGUGACUUUGUAGUUUGGAUCUAAAGAGCACAAGGGUUUUGUUGCACAUAAAGUAGCGCAGCGGCUCGGGCGGCGGUGGCGGCGGCGUGUGCACGAGAGGACUACGGAAUGUGGCCGCGCAACCUAGGGUUUGCCAACACAGCGGCGGAGUGCUCGGUGAGCUCAAGGUGGCAGUACCGUGAAAGGUUGAAGACAAGAGUGACAACGGUUCUGCGCUCCCCGCGCGUUUAAAGGAGAUGACAGCGUGAGUUAUAGACGGAAAUUGCAGUCCUUCCGUUAACACUACGCAGCGUGCUGGGCGCUUAAUUCUACUCGGCGCGCCUCUGUGGCCCUGCCAGUCCUCACCCUCGAGGGUUGGGUGCCUAAUUCUACUUGGCGCACCUCCGCGGCCCUGCCAGUCCUCAGCCUCGGGGGCUGGGUGCCUAAUUUUACUCGACGCACCUCCGCGGCUCUGCCAGUCCUCAUCCUCAGGGGCUGGGUGCCUAAAUCUAUUGGGAGCGCCUCCGCGGCUCUGCCAGUCAUCACCUUCGGGUGCUGGGCGCCUAAUUCUACUCGGCGUGCCUCUGUGGCUCCACUAGUCCUCGCCCUAGGAGGCUGAGCAACUGAUUUUUCCUAGCUAAGCCUCUGCGGCACAGCCAGUUUUUCCAACUAUAGGGAUCAAUAUUCCACUUUCAAGAAAGCAUGCCUCUACGGCCACAUAAAACACCAAGAACAGACACAAAAACAUGCCCUCAAUCAGUUAAAAUCUAAUUCUCGACGUUACAUAUUACAGAAGACUAUGAACAACUCUAGGAUAGGCGACAUCCCAGGAUAGGAAGCUACAACGCAGAAAAGAGAAAAGCACAUUACAAGAAAGCUGCGCUCCAAACUUCAUUGCUAGUGCCCUGGAUAAAGUUGGGAGGGUUCACGAUACAGCCUCCUCAUGAGGAUUCUUCUAGCAUUGUUACCUCCCAACUCGAUCGCGGAAACUGCGAAGGGAAGGAGCACCUGGGUGUUCUUCACAAGAAUUCUUCUAGCAUUAGGCUUAUUGGUGGACGCCAGCCCUAUCAAAAACUACAAGCUUCAAACCUACAAGCACUAUAACUCGAGCCAUGACUCUGCAAGAUGAAGAGUUGGUCUAUUUAUAGCCAGGCUGCUGGCUACCUUCCAAAAUUCUAUAGGGAACCCAUGAAGAUGCAAGACAAAGCCCUUCUCUACCAUUGUGACUCCACAGUACUCACGUGGUAGCCAGCCUUAUCUUCAAGUGCUGAUGAAACAAUAUCCCCGUGCAGCUGCUCUGAUGAAGCAGCACCCCUGUGAACAAGGACUUUUUGUCACCUACCUAUCAUUGCUUCAAACCUUAUCUCCAGAGAUUUGGUCACACAUUUUUCUUUUGGUUGGCAGGCUUCUGUGGCUGUGCCUAUCUCUGUGCUCGGGCAUUGAUAACUGCUCCGAAGAGACAAACUUCUUUGACCAUUGGACCGAUUAUCCUAAUCACUUCAAUGCUCGGGGGCUACACCUACGGAGUGCGUCUUAUGACACCCUCCACACCCGUCACUCCGAUCUACUAGACGUCAGCAUCCAUCAACUCGGUGCUCGUCUUCGGUCUGCAUGUUGGCCCUGCGUUUGCUCAGAUUUUCCUCUUCAUUGAGCACAGCGCAGCCUCUCCGUCACCAUGACAUCAUCGCAGCUUCAACCAACCUAGAUUCAAGCUUCGCUGUGAUGACCUCAACUUCUUGUUCGCCUACACAUUGCUCGAGGGCUUGAGGGAUAUGGGUACCCCAUGGGUCCCCAUCAACCUGGAUACUGACCGGACCUAACGAGUGGGUCUGCUCGACUAGGACGUGCGGGCCAAAGAUAUUAAGUUUUUUGGAGUACACGACAAGGCAACAAGACCGUCCAAAUCUACCCGGACAUCAUGGGUUGCAUUUUAUAGUCCGACUUAGAUUGCUUUCCAUGUAAAGAAUGAGUAUAUUGAUUCAAACCAACUUGUAACUCUUUGUUGUUAGACUAUAUAAGGCGGCCAAGGGCACCCCCUAAGGGAAAUAGAUCAUCAUAUUAAUCUUGAGAAAUACAACCCACCGAAAUAUAGGAUGUAGGGUAUUACUCUCGAGAGGCUCGAACCUGUCUAAAUUCCCAGUGUCCCUUCGUGUUCUCAUGAUCACCUUCAGGUUCUUGGUUUCUCAAUCAACCUCACCUACAAAUCAACCACCUGGGUAACCCCCUGGUGGACUCCCGAGCUUAUAAAUCCAACAAAGGGUAUAUGACUAACAUACGAGCAUAUAAGCCAUAUAAACAUAGCAAGGAUCCUAGACUACCCAUGCAUAUAAGAACCAAGUAUAACACUAUAAGAAGGAACCACGAAUACUAACUUACUAUACUCUGAAGGAAGCCAGCAUCCGUAGAGGUACAAGCCAGGAGGAGAGUGCUGACAACCCGACACUCCUCCCGAACUACCCCUUACUCUCUCCUAAUUCUAAGCACUAGCUAGCCAGCACCCCGCCUUUGCAAUGAGGCUCCAAAUCUACUCUUGAGUAGUGUUUCUCCAAGUGGUGGUGUUGUGUGUCCUCAAAUGAGGCCCACGUCUACUAUUUAUAGAGUGGAGGUGCCUUGGGAGAGUAGAGAUACUCCAAGCAUCUCAAGGGGAUCUCAAGGAAAUAUUCUCCUCCAACUCUUCUCCUUGUGCCACCUAGCAGGAUUCAAGGCUUUGAGGCAGUAACUCUUGACGAAACGGUCAUAACCGCCUUUAGGAAGUCACCAGGAGUCGACACGUGGAAGAUGGGCUCAAGGGGUGCUAGGGCCAGUUCAGCUGAACCUAGGGCACCAACUCUCACGCAGCCCUUUGUCUGGGACACUGCCUGGUGGGCCCUCAAGUCGAUGCAGGGUGCACACGCCAAAUUAAGGCAGUUUACCCCCUGAUGUAGGCCCAUGGAUCCGUGUGCUUUUUCCUAAUUAGCUGGAGUUGUGUUUCUGUGCCUCUUGGGUGUGUUUCCUCCUCCUUUCUAAUGAUAAGUUACCUGCAUACAAAUAUUCACCAACACUUGUGGAAAUGGUUAGUAAUAAACCCCUACCACUAGGUUGAUGUUAAUCUUUCCGGUAUUUAUGCAGGAGUUGAUGGCCUAGAAUUGGUACUCAAGAGCUGUCAACAACACCCCCACACAUAGCCUUUGCUCAUCCUCGAGUGAAGGGCAAAGUCUAACAUGGAACAUAACUUCUUAUGGUAAGGAGCAAACAUAUAAGAUAUUCCAAACCAUACCUAUACUUGUGAACUUUUUGAAGUGUCUAUCAUGUUACCUUGGGUGGUUGAUUGCUAAAACGGUCUUGACUCAAAUCCCCUCCACUCUUUCUAUCUCAGUAACUUCGGUUUUUGACAAUUGUUUUUCAAAAGAAAACCUUACCUAGCUCCUCACAUGAUUUUCGCAGAUCCCACCUCAUGUUAACUCUUCACAUCUGCGAUCAGCAAUACAAUCCACUAGAACACAAAACAUAGGGUAUUACUCUCCGAAGGCCCGAACUUGUCUAAACCCUAUGCCCCUAUGUUACCAUUCGAGUUUUUGGUCUCACAAUCUCACCGUCCUACAAAUGGACCACCUGGGUAACCCCCUGGUUGACUGCUGGUCACUAAAUUCGACAAUUGACGUGCCAGGUAGGGGUGAUCGUGAGAUCCUCCCCAGCAAGCUCGAUGGCAUCCCGUCCCAACGUCAUCUUCCCCAAGAGCAUGAAGGACUUCCUUGCCAAUCCGAUCUAGCUCUGCUUCAGGAGCAUUCUCGUAGACUUCGACUCCAUCGCCUCCUUCGCCGAUUCGGUGUCCGCUCCCAGCUCAGCAUCUCUCGGAUCUGCAUCAUGCCGCUUGCCCAGCAGGUUGGCGAUCUCUCCAUCUCUCUCAGAGAGGGUCCCACACAUCCUUGCGGCAACCUAUAACACCUUGUGUUAAUGCUGACUUUUGGAGCAAAAGAAGGGUAAUUGACUCAAAGUUAAAUUCGAGCUGAAUUUGACCGAAAUUGCAAUUUGGAAUUUUAAAUUCGGAUAAAUUUAGCAAAAAUAUGAAGUUGAGGCUUGAAGGUGGUUAGAACUCAAAGGGAUGAAGUUGGAGACUAAUCCUAGUCUUAAACUCCUCAAGAAUGCAACUGAAAAAGGAAAUCAACCAAGUUACUAUUCCCCAUCCGAAAAUAUGCAGUUCUGAAAAUCAUAAUGAGUACCCAACUUUGGAAUUAGGUUCUGUCUAAUUCUUCAUUUAAAGGGGCAAAGGUUUCUGAACCUUAGUGAAAUAUGGCCCUUAGACAAGUUUAGUGGAAUGUUGUUGGCCAGAGAAAGUGGAGGAAUCAAAUUUAAAAUGGGACUCAAAAUUGGCAAUCAAGCAGUUUUCAGCCUAGCUAUUGAAAUGAAUUUUUCCCAAGUCUGAAACAGUAGUGGAUGACCAUGUUUGGAGCAAGUUUUAGGGAAAUAUAGUGCAAAAGGUAUAUGAGUUCAUGUGCAAAAUGGAAUCCUUGUUAGUUGUAGAGCACGAAUGGAUGAGGGUUGAACUAUGUGGAGUAAGUUUGAGCUAUUCAAAUCGAGUUAAAAGAAGGGCAAAUAGCCCUGUACAGUGACCUGUCGAAUUGAAUCAAAGUGAUUCAGAACAAUCCAGUCUGCCCGAAAUUGAGAUUUAAAAAUUUUGGUCCUAGAGUGUUUAUCUCGGGUAGAGACCAAUAUAUCAAUUGAAGUACUCGAGUUCCUCUACAAGUUUGUUUAAAAGACUUUCGGACCGUAGGAUUUGAAAUCAACCAUUUUUGGAGGUCUAAGUUUUGGAGUAUAGGAAAGGGGGGGGGGGGAAGCGAGCAGAAGCAGAGACGUGUCGCCGCCGGCACUUUCACCCGUCGUCCAGCACGAUGUAUAGGGCCACAUCCGUACCCACACAAGCCUACAAGCUAGGCCACGGUGGCACUCAUGCACGUGGUGAAAAGUUUGGAUAUCUACUGCUCCCGCCAUCGCUCUUAUCGGUUUACUGCGUUGCCUAGUUUUACCAUCGCGAGCAGAGCACGGCCGAGCUCCUGCCGCCGUGCGAUUCCUACCGUUCCACUGCCUCGCACCUCAAUUCCUCCCACCCAAAUCCCCACCAACACCUCGCCAAGAACUGUGCCUACCCACUUUCCAAUUUCCCCGCCGGCAAGCUCUUAGCCGCCGCCGUUUCCGUCCGCCGCCGCCAACCUCCUACUCACGGUGAGCUUUCCUUUACCGCCAUCUUCUCUCCAUGUGGUAAGUCCUGGGUAAGUCUGUGGGUCGAUAGGGAGCCUUAGGAGGAGUCAAGGGCUUUGUUGGUGCCGUUGCCGUGCUUGGCCACGGCCGGCCGCCGGCCAAGCCGCCCGCCGCCGUGGAGAGGCUAGCUCCGGCCAUCUCCCAGGGGGCCGCCGCCGCCCACGGGUGCGCCGUGGCCUGGGGGUGCCUCCCCGGCCUGGCCCCGUCGCCAGCAGGGCACCAGCCGUUGAGCCGCGCCGCCCCUGUCGUGCCCUGCUUUUGGCACGGGGGAGAAGAAAGACCUGGCGCUAGGGGCCCACGUGCCAGGGAAAGAGGAGAGGGGAAGAAUGGGCUGGCGGGUAGAAUAGGAAGGGGAGGUAGGGUCAGGCUAAGGGGCCCAGCACGUGAGAGAGGGGGUAGAGAGGAGUGGAGUAAGAAAAGUUGGGCCGGGGGUUUUUGAAUAAUUUUAGGUUUUUCCUUUUGUAGAUAUAUAGUGUAAAUUCGGUUUUCACCAUUUAAAUCAUAGGAAGUUCUAGAAGUGUCCAAAAAUAGUGAAACUAACUUUAUUAGGAUUGUUUUAUUUUCCUUUAUGCAUUAAAUUUUUUAAAUCUUAGGAAAAAUAAUAAAAUUUAGGUAUUUAUUUAAUGCCUUUAAUUAAGGUAUUUAAAUAAAUGCUUAACCUUUAUUAAAUGCAUAAAAUUUUGAAUAAUGCUUUCUUACUCACAAAUUCUUAUUAAUCUAUAGGAAUUAAGUUUUGAGAUUAGAAAAUAAUUAUAAUGCUUUCUAAAAAUAAAAGAAAAGGCCUAAGAUAGGAUUAGCAAAAAGAUUAAAAGUGAUGGGUUAACCUUUGUGGGUAGUUAGUGUUGGCUUUUAACUUUAUCAUGAUGAUAGGUUGUAUAGUCACUUGUUGGCUUGCAACUUUAUCAUGAAGGAAAGUUGUAUAGUCUUGUGUUAAAAAAUUUGUAUCUCUAACCCCUGCAUGUACUAAAUCGUAGACAUUGAAGCUCCAGAAGGGGAAUUCUUGGAUUUAUCUGCAGGACCUUCGGAGUUUGAAGAAAUUGUUGAGUUGAUCCCUUGUGAAGCUGGUCCGUCGGACAACGCUAACCUUUUUACAAAUCAAGGCAAGCCCCGGUGCAUCUAUACCUAUCUACUUUGGAGUUAUUAUUUUAUGUGUCCAAUUAUUGGUUAUUUUCCAUAUGAAUGCAUUAAGUCUAGGAGUUGAUUGAAACCUAUUCUUGUGCAUGAUCCUACCUUGUUUAGAGGACAUCUUUGCCACUUGUUCACUAAUUAGUAACUAUCCUAUGCUUAGCAAUGCUUAGAUACUUCAAGCAACUUGGUUACUUAGCUCUAAGGUAAAUUUUGGGUCAUACAUGUUAGUUGAGGAAAAUUAGCUUAGAAAUUUGAAAUGCCGACAGAAGCUAGAGAUGGUAGUUCUAUCUGCUAAGUUAAAUUGGUUAAGGCCCGAUCAUUGUCUUAACCUUUGAUCAAGUGAGUUUCAUCGGGUUGCUUACUGGGUAUGGGACCAGUAAAGCCCGAUAGGUAUCUGACUCUCUGAUCGAGAAUAUCCCGUACCCGUGCUUGACGUGCUGGAGAAUGGCACGGGCGUAGCCUGAAACUCACAUGGAGAUCAGGCCAGACGUGGGGUCCCAUGUGGGGGUGCGUCCCUGGGUUCGGGUAGUCAUAUUCCCAAUCUUUGGGUACGCUAAUCGAAAGGUCGUCAUGUACAACCUGGACAGUUGUACAUAACUGGUGGUCAGGGUGCUCUCUUGCAGGAUGUAAAUUGAUUCGGAUCGCCGCAAUUCUCGGUUAUGAAUGUACUUGAUCACCGUUAAGCAUCAUAGUGUAAUCUAGUGAAAUGCAAUGUUUUUUCGAAAUUAAUAUGUUGUAUGACUUAAUUCCUACUGUCUGCAAAAAUAUUUCUUUUUCGCCAUCUAGACUGGUUAGGUAACAAACUCAAUCUGAAAUAAAAGAUAAAACUAAGGUUUCACUUGUAGUAAGCUCUUUCAGCAAAAAUGUGAGUCAGCCAGUACACUAAACAGUUAUCAUUCAGUUUCGGAAAAACUACUAUAUUGGUUAGUCUGGUUAGUCUUGCUGAGUACCCCGUACUCAGGGGAUUCCUUUGUUGCUAUUUCAGAGCCACAGCAGGAGUCCGUCGAGGAAGAAGCCCCGAAAAAUUAGGGUAUUUUUACGAGUCUCAUAAUACCCUAGAAAUAGAACUCAGAUGUUUACCUUUCACAUGGACUUGUUUAUGUUUUAAACUCUUAGAACUGCUCUGACCUACAUUAUUAAGUUUGUUUCAAACUACGGUCUGUAAUAAUUCGCACCUCGGUAUGUAUGUAAAAAUGUAAUAUUUGUUGAUACCUUCUCAUUGUGGAAGCGAUCCUGAUGUAUGGCUAUGGGACACGUCAUGGAUGUUUCGAGGAGUCCUAGGGACACUCGAUGGACUCCCAAGAGGUGUCUCCAAUGUCACCACCAUGUCUACUCAAGAUGACACUAGUGGUUUGCAGGUACUCGAGCCAGCGACAGAAGCUAAAAGGCGGCUGCAUUGGCUGCUCAAGACAGAUCGCCGAUCACUAAGGAUAUGAUCAAUGGUGAAGAUGAUCCAGAGCCUAUUGUUGGUGAUGCCAACUCCUUUGGAUGUUUGGUGAACCCUACUAGCACAGAAGCAACAUCAUCAGCGCGGACGGCAACUAAAGCUGGCUAGGAUCACUCUGCCACCUUGUAGGCCCUGCCAAAGGCACCAUCUCUAACUAUUAAGCCGCUAUGCCUAAUGGGUGAACCCAAGUUGAAACUGAGGAAAUCUUCAAGGUAUCCUCCAUUGUUCCACCAAGUACUUAUUGUAACCCAUAGAUAUGUUGUUGUAAUAGGAAUUUUGUGCCCACCUGCAGGAAAUCCUCGUACAUAAUCUUGUCCUCCGAUCCUGUGACUGAUGGUAGUAGCCACUUAACCCAAGAUGUCAUCCCGACCUAGGCAGUCCUUCCGCCAUAGCAGCAAACUAUGGAGAAGCUGUCUACUCCAAGGGCUCCAUCCACUGUAGUAGCCCUAAUGCAUGAAGUCUUGACAUCCUCAACAAAUGUGGUGCCGCUAGCCCCCGAGCAACAAAAACCUGAGAUGGUGGCGACUGCUUCUGGUGCCGUGGCUACAUCCGUAGCCCCCAAGCCAAAGGUAGAAAUUGACGCGAUCACGGCUCUAGAGACCAUGGCCGCCGACGCGUCUUCCGGGCCGGGUCUAGCAGAAAAUCUUUCUAUGGUUCCGCAGGACGGAGUUGAUUAUGAAGCUCGUGCGGAUCCAUUGUCGGCCUAGAGGAUUUGUCUUGAAGAAGUCAAGUUGAUUGACGACCCUCUGCUGGAUGUGGACGUGGUGACUGGGUGUGACGACCGACCCCAAAUCUCAUGAGUUAAUCUUAAUCCGAGUCCCCCCAUCCCCUACCUCAGCUCUCCAAGUUGAAGUGCUCAACCCCUAGUCCGGUCCCGACCCCUGAGAUCCGACCCUCUCAGCUGGUUCCCCAGUCCCGACCCCGCCGACCCCAACUCAACCGCCGGAUCCUUCUAAGUCUUCCCACAACGCCUCCCUUCAAUCUGAGCAGUGGACCAACCGAGACUGACCGGUGGGCCCACAAAAUCUUUCUCCCAGAUCUCCCGCGACAGACGCACUCAAGUAGCAUGCCCGUCUCAGAGCUUCUCCGCUGUGUGGCUCAACUUCUCCGACACCCGCCCCUCCGCCUCGUCGUCGGCCACGACCGGAUGGAUUCUCGCGCCCCCUUCCCCAAUCAGAGCGCAAGCUCCUCUGCUACCCUUUCUGCAGUACCUCGCAGCCCGCGCCCAUCAUCACCCCGCCGGACCCCCGGCUGCGGAGCCCGAUGCCUUCCGCCUUUUCCGCCGCCCCUCCACAGUCGCGCCGCCCGGACUGCGCUAUGCGACGAUUCCUCCUCCGCCAACCCAGACCACGGCCGCGACAGCUCCUUUCCCACCUUGUCAGAGAUGCACCUGACAGUCUGUUGCUUCGCGCUCGCCCGCACGACCGCAGCCCGCCUGUCUUCUCACCUGUGCGCCCUCGCUUCUAGCGCCAUUCCCCCGGUCACUUCCAUCAGAUCCACCGCACGAUGACGCCCGCCUCCGGCAAAUCUUAACCACCGGCAAAACCGCGCCUGCGCCGCCCCGUCUCUGGUGCCCAAUGGCCGACGGUGUCAUCCCCGAAGACCUGCUCCGCCGCACCGCUGUUCAAUCUCCGCCCCGGCAGAGCACUCGAUCACUUCUUUCCGGUCUUCGCGGCGCUCCAACCUUCUCUCUCUUCCGCGCAGCUAUAAAAGGGAAUGCCAGAGCUCCACCGGAGUCCCCUUCGCCAUCGCUACCCUUCCGCCUUGCUCUCUGUUUCGUGCUCAAGCACUACAGCCUAAGUCCCUGAGGAACUCUCCUCUCCGUGCCACGCCCGCCCUUCCAAUCCGCCCAGCUACUUGCUCCUCCGUGCUGCGCGAGAGCUUGCUUGUAGUCCACAAGAAGCCCCGCCGCCACCGGAGCACCGCCGGACAUCAUCACCUGCCCAAGCCUUAGUGCUCCAGUUCCUCCGCCCAAGUCUGCUCUUUUCCGACCCCAAGCUUCACCUGUAAGACGAAGGUAAGCUGCCGACCCUUUUUCCGCCUCGUCCGACCCCUUCUAUCCGCCUGACCCCUAUUCCGCCUCGCCCGACCCUGCCUGUUUCGCCGACCCUUUCUCCGCCUCGCCCGAGGGCUCGGCUGUAUCUUUUUCCUUAACCCGAGGGUAUAUGUGUAAAAACGGGGACUUCUCGGCGUUAAGUCUGAGGAUCCCUAGCACAUCUCUUCCUCUAGUCUAAGGGUCAGAUCAUAAGCUUCUUCCCAUCCGACCCUUUGCCUUGUCCUUCUCCAACUCAAGUGAACUUCCCCACUUUUUCCGUAACUUUGCUACAAAGUUUCUGAGCUAGAACUUGCAAGUGUUUCUGUUGAAAUAACCGUCUAAAUGCUGACCCCUGCAUUGCAUUUCGUGUAGAGCUGCAUCUCGCCGAUGGCUUCUACGAGUUGCACCCGGCGCCAGAGGACGAAGUUGCGGCAGAGCUCCCGCUUCCAGAAGCCGAAGCCGCCCCCGCAUAAGACCCCUUCCCUUCCUCCUCGUUUGAAGGCAAGCCUCGGAGCAUGAACCCAGUUUUCCCAAACUUGCGCAUGCCUUCUGCUUCUUGUUUGUGCAUUUAUGUAUAGGAGUUGUUUGAAACCGUAGAUUGCAUAACUUAGUUCCCUGAUCUGAACACGAGCUGUUGGGCCGAGUAGUUGCCAUGCUUAAAUAGGAAGCGGUAAAAGCUGAGUGAUUUCCUGUCACUCGCGAGUUUGUAGGAGUUGGUUGUUCUUCUUCUGUUGCAACUUUAAGGACGAUGGACGGGGCAGGGUUUUGGUUAACUCUUUGGUGGUCGGCUGAUCGCCCCGUCUGUCUAUGAAACUUGUUAAGGCCCGACAGUGGUGGUGUUCAUUAUCAAGUGUUUGAAAGUACUAACCUCAUACUUAUUAUGGGAUGAGGAAGCCGAGUACCGGAUUGAACCUAGACGUGAGCGGUCGCCCCAUUGUCCUUGGAACGGAGUUCCCCUGCGGCCGCACGUGGUGGCAAGCGUGGUCACAGAACGGCAGAGGCCAGGUCUGUGGAACCUUGCACCAAAGGAAAUAGGCCCGACACGGGUUGGGGAAUUGAUGGGGAAGGCCGACACAGGAAGCGACCCUCGGUGGUUCGCGGAUGUCGUGAGGUUAGGUUCACCAUGCAUGGUUAAAGAACUCGAAUCGAUUCGCCUGCCUCUCACAGUUUGAGACUGCUUGAUCGCUAUGCUACACUGAGUAAUAAAGGAAUCUAAUGAUGACAUGGUCUUGAUGAUGAUAUAUAUACCUUUUGGUUGGUUCUAUGUUUGCUUAGAGUAAGUUGCUAACCUAGACCGGAUAAUGAACUUAGAACCUGAGCUAAAACCUUGAAAAUAGGGAUCUACGUAGUGCUUUUGGCAAACAAACCCCUCAGCCAGAGAGCCUUGCUUGUCUAGAAGUGGCGGAGUAGCGUCCUCCCGGUCGGUUAAGUCUUGUUGAGCUUAGUAGCUCAGCCUUGUUGUGGCUUUUCUUUUUCAGGUGAAGUUGCUGCUCCCGAGCCUUCUUCUGUUGGCACUUGGCUGCCCCAACUCCCUCCGGGUUGGACGGUCGAGUGGGAUCCCUCCUCGGAUGGCGAGGAGAGGGAUCACUGACGUCUUGGCUGGCCUCACCAAGGACGUCCGACCCCUGCGUUUAGCUUCCGCUGUUUACCUUCUGUUGCUUUCUUUUUAACCUUGUAAAACUCUGAUGUGGUUUUGUUAUUGAACUAAAUGGUCAAUUUGUUUAACACAGUAGGCUUGUUGUAUUCUCUGGAACUGUUCACCUUCGUGUGGACUUUGCUAAACUCGGUCCUGUUCAAGUGGUUAAAUUGGAUGAAAUCCGAUAGCAUCUCGAGUUAUCCUGAUUAAGGCCGGGUGUCACGUGUUAGGCGACUUAAUCGUGCCUCGAUUGGGCUAAUCCGAGGUGGAUCCGCCACAGAAAUCCUCGGUGAUGAAGUCCGGAUCUUCCUCUAAAGCAACAAAACAAGGGUGAGUACAAAAGUACUCAACAAAUCCAACCCCAUCCAUGGAGGAGGAUACAAUCAAGAAUAUGCACAGGAUAUAUCAAUGAUAAGGCUAAAGCUUAUUUGCAAUAAAGCUAGAUUUUCAACACAUGCAAGGGUUCCUUUUUUGUAAUUAGAGUUUUCGCAAAGUAUUUCUUUUGUAACUGAAUCAUUAAGUGGGGUUGAUCCUACACAAAGGAUCCAAGUUUUAAUAUCCAUCUCCCAAACACUGGUCAUGUGACCAAGUCAUAACUCAUCCAAUGCUGUGAACAUGGCUGCCCGAAUAGGUUUUAACUCUACAGAGGUUGUACACUUUACCCACAAGUAGGGUACCGCAGCAUGAUCACCUUAGUGUUGGUGCAGAUCCUAUCAAAGCCAUUACCCACCUUAGCUAAGUCUAACUAGCCAACACGGAAGCAACCAAGGGGUUAAUGACCUACCAACGAGGUCUUAACCGGGACAUAAGUCACAAAGAUUGAACUCCUUCUCCACGGUCUCCCAUUGCUCACCAGCUCUCCCGAUGGCUAACAGACUAGCUAGUGGGAUUUAUGCUAAGCCGUCACCGCAUACAACGGUUGAGUGGUUGCACGAUAAUUGGGUUAGGCAAGAUGGAUAUCUCCCAACCUUGCUCAACCACAAGGGUACGAGCCCAACAUAUUGGUAUUUCACACAAGAAAAACCCAUCCAUCUCAUCUAAGCAUUUCCUUCCUUUAUUUUUGAAAACCCAUUUUUCUCAUUUGAAAACACUCACACAUUUAUUCUUUAACAAAGCACAUUGUAGUCAUGAUUGAAUUGAGUAAUAAGGUCCUAAGCAUUCUAGCAAUAAUUAUCAUCCAAACAGAGCAAAUCAUAUUUAGAGAUAAUUAUAGGACAAUUAAUGAAUAAUCAUAACAAUCAAGGGGUGGCUAUCCAACCAUGUUUCAACGGUAAAAAAAUAUGAAAUUUUAUAAAAUAGGCCAAUAGCCUGUGUUUGAAAAACUGGGUUAAAUAUGCAUCAAACGGUGAGAUUGGACUUGCCGUCUUCAAAGUCGCCUGGGAGUUCUUGCUCGUGGUGCUGGUCUUCGACCUCUGGCUCGCGGUACUGGUCGUCAAGCUCCUCUUCAGGCUCCUCCUCGGGCACUCUACAAUCUACGGCACACAUAAUUGGGUAUACAAUAAAUAAAAGAAAAAUAAAGCUUUACCCGUUGAGCUCAAAUAGAGAACGCGAACGAAAAUUAGAAGGAAUGAGUAUUUUCAUGGAAUUUGGGGAUGACUUGGUUAAAAUAUAGUGGAGGAUGAUGUGGUCGAAUUUGGGAUCAAUCGGAGGAAGUUUGGCGCAUGAAAUGACGAGGCAAAGGUGUGUUUAGGGUUAAAUAGAGAACCAGGGACUUGUUUGCGAAGAACCCAGGGCCUACUUGCAAAUAUUUUUGGAUGGGGGAUGGCUUCCUGCGCAAAAGGGUAUGAGAGAGGUGGGAGGGCUGUUUUGUGAAAAGGGAAAACUUGAGGGUUAGAUCAAAAUUGGAGGGAAAUUUUCCCCUUUCUUCUUCCUUGGCUCGGUACAGGGGAUACGAGGAAAGAACAGGGGGGCCAGCCGACCAACCUCGCCGGCGGCGAGGCCGUGCUGCGGGGGAGGUAGGGGAGGGAGAGGGCACUCCAUUUAGCCCUCUUACCUUGGGCAAGUGGCAGCGGGGAACGCGGCAUCAGCGGCGAUCAAGGGGCGGCUUGGGUGGCAAGGGAGGUGGCUCUGGUGGUUCGGGGGAGACGAUGGCAAGGUGGUGGCAAUGCUCAGGGCGUUGGCCCCCUUUUAUAGCCGGCGGGGAAAGGUUGGUGACAAGCGGUGCAUAGGGCGGUGGUAGGGGUGGCAGUGCGGCACGGGCGGGGCGACACAAAGCGGCGCUGUGCGCGGGAUGCGCAGGCAUAGGGCGGCACUGAGCUUGUCUAGCGGGCGGCGCGGUGACUGGUCAGUGCACCUGCGGGCGACAACGGCACGUGCUCGGGCGGGUGGCGUGCUGGAGGCAAGGUGAGUGGGGGGGCCAGCGUGGCGCGAAGGAGAGGGCGUGGGCGGCGUAGGGCUUGGCCGGGGCCAGCGCAGGAGUAGCAGGAAGGGGGGCUGGUGGCGCGCGGCUAGGGAAGGGGAGGCAGGUGUGCGCGCCAGGAAGAAGGAAGGAGGAAGAAAGGAGAAGGAAGAAGAAAGAGAAGAAGGAAGAGAAAAGGAAAAAGGAAAGAGAAAAGGAAUAGGGAGAAAAAGAGAAAAAGAAAAGGGAGAGUCGGUGGUGAUUGCAGAAAAUGGUCGGAGCACGUGCGGCGGUCUUUCGUCCAACACGCGGUGGAAUUUGCAGAGAGGAAAAAGAUAAAAGGAUGGUUGUCGGCUUCGGGCGCUAGGACGGCGAAAUCACCGGUAAAGAUGGGAUGUUUGAGAGCUCAAACGGUAAAAGAUUUUGAAAAUAAUUUUUAGCGAGUGAUUUCGGUCAGUAAAUUUUACGGAGUUUACAAACCUACCCCACUUAAAUUGAAUCUCAUCCUCGAGAUUCUAUUGAAUCUUGAAAAGAUGGGGAAAUUCUUUCUUCAACGCAUCUUCGUGUUCCCAGGUAGCUUCUUUUUCACCAUGCCUACUCCAUUGGACUCUGCAAAUCUGCACCACUGAAUUCCUUGUUCUUCUGGUGACGAUGUCUAUAAUCUUGAUGGGUACUUCUUGAUACCGAAGAUCCUUCUGCAAGUCUAUUGUUUCCACCGGUACUUGAUCUUCAGGUACUCUCAAGUAUUUUCUUAGCUGAGAAACAUGGAACACUGGAUGUAUAUCUGACAUUUCUUCUAGCAACUGAAUACCGUAUGCCACCGCUCCAACUCUCUUUAACACCUGGUAUGGUCCAAUAUACCAAGGGGCUAACUUUCCUUGAACUUGAAACCUUCGAGUCCCUCGAAUGGGUAAGACCUUGAGGUAGACAAAAUCUCCUUCAUUGAAGCUCAAUUCUUGUCUCCUCUUGUCUGAGUAGCUCUUCUGUCUGGACUGUGCUGCUUUCAGCUUCUCUCGGAUUUUGACCACUCGGUCCUCUGCCUCUUUUAUAAAGGUAGGUCCAACUAAAGUGCGCUCUCCCACUUCUGACCACAUUAGAGGGGUUCUGCACUUUCUUCCAUAGAGAGCCUCAAAUGACGACAUGCCUAAAUUGGCCUGAUAACUAUUGUUGUAUGAGAACUCUGCAUAGGGUAAACUCUAUUCCCAGUCCUUGCCAUAGGUAAGGACACAAGCUCUCAACAUAUCCUCCAUAAUUUGAUUUACUCUCUCUGUUUGACCAUCGGUCUGUGAGUGACAAGCCGAACUGAAAUCCAACUUGGUGACUUCUCCAGAAUCUAGAGGUAAAUUGGGUUCCUCUAUCUGAAACAAUUCUGCUAGGCACACCAUGCAGCUUUACUAUGUUGUCCACAUAGAGCUGAGCCAGUUUUUCUCCACCAUAAGUGGUCUAUACAGGUAAGUAGUGAGCAACCUUAGUGAGUUGAUCUACUAUUACCCAUAUGGAGUAAUUUCUUUUCUGAGUCUUGGGUAAACCUACCAAAAAAUCCAUACCAAUCUCAUCCUAUUUCCAAACCAGGAUGGGCAAUGGUUGCAGUAAACCCACUGGCUUCUGAUGCUCAGCCUUGACUCUUUGGCAAGUAUCACAAUGGGUGACGAACUGGGCAAUGUCCACCUUCAUCCCAUUCCACCAGUAAUUCUGCUUUAUGUCCAUAUACAUUUUGGUGGCUCCUGGGUGGAUGGAGUAUACCGAGUUAUGGGCUUCAUCCAUAAUGAUCUGCCAAAAAUUCCCUUCCUUGGGUACGCAAAUUCUAUCUUUGUAUCACAAGGUUCCUUUGUCAUCCACUCUAAAAUCCGGGGCCUUAUUCUCUUCGGUUUGCUUGCGGAUUUUCAUUAAAUCCUGAUAUGAACCCUGGGCAUCUCUGAUUUUAUCCUCCAAAGUGGGCUAAACACUUAGCUUGUGGAUGGAAUUCUGGGGAAUAAUGUGCACAUUUAACCAUGCCAUUUCUUCUUGCAGACGAGCAUCCUUGGGUUCGGGCUGCCCAUAAGAUUUUCUGCUUAAGGCAUCAGCUACCACAUUAGCUUUGCCAGGGUGGUAAUGGAUUUCCAGAUUAUAAUCCUUAACCAAUUCUAACCACCUCCUCUGCCUUAAGUUCAAAUCUGGUUGGGUGAAGAUAUACUUCAAACUCUUGUGGUCAGUGUAGAUCUCACACUUAUUCCCAAUCAGAUAAUGCCUCCAAAUCUUGAGGGCAUGCACUACGGCUACAAAUUCCAAAUCAUGGGUUGGGUAAUUCUGCUCAUGAGGAUUAAGCUGGCGGGAAAAAUAUGCCACUACUUUCCCAUCCUGCAUAAGGACAUAUCCUAAUCCUUGUCGGGAUGCAUCACAAUAGAUGACGAAGUCCCACUGAAUAUCUGGCAAGGUUAACACUGGGGUGGUCGUCAAUCUUUUCUUCAGUUCUUGGAAACUUCUCUCACAUGAUUCUGUCCAAGUAAAUUUCUUAUCUUUCCUGAGCAGUUCCGUCAUGGGCCAGGCUAUCUUGGAAAAUCCUUCAAUAAAUCUCCAAUAAUACCUAGCCAAACUAAGGAAGCUUCUGAUUUCAAUAACAUUGGUUGGUUGCUGCCAGUUGAAAACAGCCUCAACUUUCUUGGGGUCAACCGCUACUACUUCUGAGGUCAAAAUAUGGCCAAGGAAUGCCAUUUUCUCAAGCCAAAAUUCACAUUUGCUGAAUUUGGCAUAGAGUCUGUGCGCUCUCAGUUUUUCUAGCACCACUCGUAGAUGCUGCUCAUGCUCUUGGAUACUUUUGAAGUAAAUAAGUAUGUCGUCGAUAAAGACUACAACAAACUUAUCUAACUCGUCCAUCAACACCUUGUUCAUGAGAUUCAUGAAGUAAGCAGGUGCAUUGGUUAGCCCAAAAGACAUCACCGUGAACUCAAAUUGACCAUAACAGGUGACAAAGGCCAUCUUCGGGAUGUCGCUCUCCUUAAUCUUGAGCUGAUGAUAUCCUGACCUCAGAUCAAUCUUGGAGAAAUACUUGGCUCCUUUUAGUUGAUCAAAGAGAUCAUGUAUUCUGGGAAGAGGAUAUUUAUUCUUAAUAGUGACCUCGUUCAAUGCAUGAUAAUCCACGCACAUCCUCAUGCUCCCAUCCUUUUUCUUGACAAAGAGGACUGGAGCUCCCCACGUGGAUGAGCUAGGCUUAAUCAAACCACUCUGCUGCAAUUCUCCUAACUAUUUCUUCAGCUCUGCCAACUCAGAUGUUGCCAUCCUAUAGGGUCUCUUGGCUAUCGGGGAGGUUCCAGGGAUAAGGUCAAUUACGAACUCUAUAUCCCUAUCUGGGGGCAUUACAGGUAGUUCUUCAGGAAAGACAUCAGGGUAUUCACCUACUACCGGGACUUCCUCUAAGGCCUUGGCUUCCAUGCUAAAAACCAUCGGGUCUGGUCCACUUCCCUGAGUGUGACAAGUUACUUGCACACCGUCGUGAUUGGUUAGGUGUACUAUCUUAUCAGCACACCCUAUGUGACCAUCAUGUAAGCUUAACCAAUCCAUUCACUACUAGAUUUUAGGGCUAUUGCCACGGCCAUCAUCCUAUCAACUCAAAUUUUGUUGCAACAGGUAGGGGUUAUUGCAACGAUUUUGAGUUUUCGUUACAACCGGUAGGCGUUAUUGCCACCAUUUGAAAAUUCGUUGCAAUAGGCAGGAGAUAUUGCCACGUGUGUUUUUUGUUGCAAUAAUUAAUUUUUUUCGUUGCAAUAUCGAUGGGUUAUUGCCACGAAAUACGCAAUGUUGCAAGGCUUUGACAUUUUUGCAACGAAUUUGUCACAUUGCCACAUAGCCCAAGGCAACAACGGAAAAUUUGUUGCAAUAGGUCGGUGUUGUCGCAAUGAGUUAAAAAUGGUUGCGAGUUGCUGAACAAAUUGCCAUAGUUUUUUUGUGUUGUUAUAAAGUUUUUUUUUACAUUGCAAUAUCUAAUGGUUAUUGCCACGAAAUAUGUAAUGUUGCUAGUAGGAAGCAAUAUUGCAAUGAAUUUGUUAUGUUGCCAUAUAGCCUAUGGCAACAACAAAAAAUUUGUUGCAAUAGAUAGGUGUUGUUGCCACGAGUUGAAAAAUGGUUGCGAGUUUUAUUUCAGAAAAAUUAAAAGAUGCGCAAUGAGGGAAUCGAAUCUAGGUCUCCAGAGUUUGGACUUGAGCACCUCACCACCACGCUACCCAAUAGUUGGGUGAUGGAUAGCAGCCGAAGUAAAAGAAAUAAAUUCUAUGUUAGUUACAACAAUGUAUCUAUAGUGUAGGACGACACAUCACCCGACCGCUUGCCUACCAUGUCACCCGACCACCGGCCGCGCCAGGUCACUGGCUCCCCAGCCGCGCGCCACGUCACCUGGCCACAGCGCGCCCACUGAAAAUUAGAAAAAAAAAUUAGCAAUCGUGGGUUUUGAACCCUGGUUCUAGAGACCACACUCCAACACCUUACCACUGCACUACACCAACACUUGAGAUGAAGUAUGGUAUUCUAUAUUUUAUACAUUCAUUUUCUCAUGUUUUAUUUCGGAAAAAUUAAAAGAUGCGCAAUGGAGGAAUCGAACCAGGGUCUCCAGCGUUUGGACUCGAGCACCUCACCACCACACCACGUAAUUGUUGGAUGAUGGAUAUGAGCCAAAGUAAAAGAAAUAAAUUCUAUGUUAGUUAUAGCAAUGUAUCUAUAGUGUAGGAUGCCACAUCACCCGACCGCUUGCCCGCCAUGUCACCGGCCGCGCCACAUCACCCGCACCCCAGCCGCACGCCACAUCACCUGGCCACGGCGCGCCCACUGAAAAUUAUUGCCCGCCAUGUCACCGGCCGCGCCACAUCACCGGCACCCCAGCCGCACGCCACAUUACCCGGCCACGGCGCACCCACUGAAAAUUAGAAAAAAAAUCAGCAAGCGUGGGUUUUGAAUCCUAGUUUUAGAGACCACACUCCAACGCCUUACCACUGAACUACACCAACACUUGAGACAAGGUAUGGUAUUCCAUAUUUUAUACGUUCAUUUUCUCAUGUUUUAUUUUGGAAAAAUUAAAAGAUGCGCAAUGGAGGAAUCAAACCAGGGUCUCCAGAGUUUAAACUCGAGCACCUCACCACCACGCUACACAAUUGUUGGAUGAUGGAUAGGAGCCGAAGUAAAAGAAAUAAAUUCUAUGUUAGUUACAGCAAUGUAUCUAUAGUGUAGGUUAAUUACUGAGUUCUUUAGUGCCCACCCUAUUGGAGAGAUCAAAUGCAGCAUCAUUGAGGUUGAAGAAAGGGAAAAAAUACUAUUGAAACAGAUUGAAAAAACAUAAUUUCUACGAGAUAUUAGCAUUUUAGUGUAACUGUCAUGGAUCCUAUGUGCUGCAAUUAUUAUGUGGUAAUUUGGAGAUAGAAGUUUGAAUUGUCCUAAGAAGACAAUUGAAUUUUUCAUCUAUCUCUAAGGCAUGGGCUAGAAUCGAACAUACAAGCUUAAAUAUAAUUUUUGUGCAUUUUUUGAAUCUUAUUUGUGGUACACAUAGUUCAAGUUGGAAUUACUUUCGAUAAGCACGUAGAAAUUCAUUUAAAUGAUAGAAAAUACUAAAUAUAUUAAAAAAUUCUUGAAACUCCUAAUGACAACUUAGAUUUUUUCUAUUACAUGUAAAAAUAUAAUUAGGGGUACAUAAAAUAAUUAUUUUGCAAGUUACUUCACAAGGGUGUAUUAAUUAGUUAGUUAAAAAAUAGAAAAAUAACUUUUUUUACAACAAGUGGCAAUGUAAAUCCACAAAUGUCAACAACAGGGUAAAGGUAAGUUUGUGUCCAAAUUUGAGGUGCAUUGAGUUCAAAAAUAAUACGAGCUAUUCAAAUCUCAAAGUUUGAUUUGAGUUGUGUGAAUGAAUGUGAGAGCUCUAUCCAUUUUGUGAACAACGUACACUCCAAUCUUUUUAAAAUCUUAUGAAACUUUUAUGUCAAGCUUAUAGACCCAAAAUAUGUUCUCAUGUAAAUUUGUAGAAUUUUCUGACCAAAUUUAGAUAUUAUUGUAAUUAUUAUGUGAUAAUUUGGAGAUAGAAGUUUGAAUUGUCCUUAUAAAACACUUGAAUUUUUCAUCUAUCUCCAAGACAUGGGCUAUAAUGAAACAUGUGAGCCUAAAUAUAAUUUUUUUGCAAAUUUUUAAAUUUUACUAGAGAUACGCAUAGUUCAACUUGGAAUUACUUUCACUAAGCCCCUAGAAAAUCAUUUAAAGAGUUAAAAAUAGUAAAUGAGUUAGAAAUUUAUUGAAACUUCUAUAAGGCAACUUAUAUGUAAUCUAUUGUAUAUAACUUCUAUAAGGCAACUUAUAUGUAAUCUAUUGUAUAUAAAAAAUAUAUUGAUGCAUGUUAGAUAAUUAUUUUUUACGUUACUUCAUAAAUUUUAAGCAAAUCUGAGUUUGGGCCAUUUCCUGGGCAUGAAAAAAAGGAAGAGAAAAAAAAUAAAAAAACAUCCCCUCUCCUUAACCGCGAUCGAAGCCCCCCACCCCCUUCCCGGCCUCCUUUCUUCUUCCGCGUGCACCCCCUCCCUCGUGCCCCUCUCCCCGCCCCCUCGCGCCCCUCUCCCUAGAACCCGCGCCCCUCUCCCUGCCCCCUCUCCUCCCUCUCCAGCGGGCAGCGCCCCUCCCCUCCGGCCAGAUCCGGCCACCGCCGCGCCCCCUCCUCCCUCUCCGCCCUAUCCGUGGUGCCCCUCCCCUCCAGCCGGAUCCACCGCCGCCGCGCCUUCUCCUCCCUGAACUCCCUCUCCGUCUUCACCUGCAACCCUAGCGCCUCAUACUCCUCCCCCGCCUCCCACCUUGCCGUAACCCUAGCGCACGCACCACCUCACCGCCGCCGUCCCCCACCUUCGCCACCACCAUGAGGGAGAUCUAGGGCUCAGCCUCGCGCCGCCGGGCGCGGAGCCCUCCGCCGGGGCGCUGUCUUCUUCGUGCCGCGUGUCGAGAUUGGGCCUCGCAAGAUGGAGCCUUCCAAGAAGCUCAGCACCUACCUCCGUCGGGUCCCGGAUCCUCCCCUCCGUCUUUCCCUCCUCCGCCUAGGUCGGCCCCCGUCCUCCGUGGAUCUCUUCUUUCUUUGUACUAGGGGUUUUCUUUGCACUUUCUCUGCUGCAAUGCUGUUGUUUGAAUUUGGAGGUCAUCACUGUGUGUAGGUUCCUUUGUUUUAAUUCUCUGCCACAAGCUGGGAGUUGAAAUCAUUGAGAUGCAUGGGCCUUCUAACAUUGACAUUACUCAAGAGAAAUCUGAACGCUUGACCUCAUGGUAGUUUAAUGACGAGGUGAAUACUUAUAAUGAAUAUCUUUUGUUCGUCUGUGACAAAAACAUGUUGAAGAAAAGAUGCUAGAUGCUUCAACAUAUCUAUGUGACGCUAGGAUCAUAUUUCUACCGCUGGCUGUUCUGGAAAAAAAAAUUGCAACCUCUGUUGUUAUAUUAUUUUUUUGUCAUUGCAGGUCAUCAGUUUGCUUCUUCCUUGUUAAUCUGAUCCUGUUGCAUGUGCUGGUGGAAUCAUCACUUCAAAGUUGGAUACUUAGCAUAGGGCGAUGCUACUUGGAUGGUCCAGAUUGCAAGCAGAUUGAACACUACUUAAGUCCAUACUUUUUAUCAAGAUCAUCACUUUCAUCCCUGGCAUUCUUGAUCACGUGUACCUUUCUGGGAAUAUCUUUUGAUCUGUUGGCACCAAUCCCUUGGAUAAAGCAUAUAAUGAAGAAAUUUAGAAAUAAUGACAUGGUCCAGUUGGUACCUGAAGAAAAUGAGGACUAUCUAAUGAUGCAGAAUGGUGAAGAAACUAAUAAUUUGACAGCACCUCUGAUGCCUGAGAGAGAAGACCCUUUUGGAUAGUAUCGAGGGGCAUGAUCUUUCUCUAUACCCAUUAAACAGAAGCUUCCACAUGCCAAAGCAUACUUUGGCUACCGAUAUCUUGUGGACAAUUACAAUUUCUUGUUUGUGUACAGAGUUAGAGGAUUUCGUGCAGGGAAUGAUGGGAAGCUGAUGGACAGAGUGUUGUGCAUCAUGCAAUUCUGUGUGAUCUUCCUUUCUGCAGUGCUGCUCUUCUUUGCGGUUCAGGGUGAUUCAUGAAGCUCCAAGGUAUAUGUACCCUUGGGAUGUUAGUGUUCUAUAAGCUGCUGCCUUCUAGAAGUGAUCGCUUCCAGCCAUCUUUGUUAGAACUUAGAAGGGAUGCAAACAAUUAAUAGCUUUGUAGAUGAUCUCACAGAUUAUAGUGUUUUUUCACAACCUGAUCUGGAUUAUAGUCUGUAUCAAUCCUGAAGGGAAAAAACUUAAGAUCAAUACACUCUUUUGUUUCAUUACAAUGGCAUGCUUUUAUCAGUUGAUCUUAGUCGCAUCACAGGAAAAUAAAUAUUAUACAAAUAAAUAUUAGGAGUGAGUCCCACAUGUAACUUAUGUGUAAUUUUAUAUUCAGAUUUCCUUAUCUUCUAUUGUGUAAUGCUAGAAAUUACAUAACAAAAGGAUUGUCUGCCUCUGCUACAGCUGUCUGACUUGCACUAUAUCUUUUAAACAAUCGAUCUAGUCUAGGUGAGGCAUAAUGCAUAUGGUCUGUUCACCUGAGCUGUCUCCAUGUUGUUCAACUGAAUAGAAAUAUUUAAUAUAUUUUUUGUAUAACUCUAGGUAGUAAUAUUUUUUGUUUGUCAUGCAGAAGCUGUUUCAUACUGAUUUUUGCUAAUUAUAUUUCCAUGCUCUACUCUAGCCGGACAAGAACUUCAUAUCAUUAGGUUUAUCAAACAUGUAAAAGUAGACCAGCAACAUUCAUAGCUGUUGCUUAAGUAUCCCUGUCUACAAUUGGUCCUAACUCCUAACAUCACUUAAUAGGAACAGCAGGUCAUGCUGCUAAUAGUGUGCACCUAACACUUUGUAAAGGUGGAAAGGAGAUUAAUGCUAAUGGUUGUCGUUAAAUUAGGCAGGCUUCAAUGGAAUUGCAAUUUGACAGAUCAGUUUUCUUAAGAUUCACCCCUCCUACCAAUCAAUCUACUACUUUUUAGUUCCAUACAUUGAUUCCUUUUAGUUAGACCAGAGAUAUGUACUGGUGUGGUAAUCUCUUGCUCUAAUGGUCCGUGGUGGACAAAGCUUUCCUUGCAAGACUGUACAUGCUUACUUCCUCACUGAAACACGACAAGAAGAGAAAGAUAUGUCCAGAUCAGCGCUUAUAAUUCAGAAACUUUGAACCAUAAUCUACUAUUCUAUUCUACUCUGUGUCUUUUUCCGAUAAUGUAAAUUAUAGUCCACUACCUUCUAGUUCUACUACGGUAGUAUUUUUUAUGUAUUUCUUGGUACGUAAUAACAAGCUGUGGUAAUUCACAAUGGGUAAAGACAUCUUUUUUUUUACUUCUUGGGCAGGAAUACAUAUCAUUCAGCCCUAUGCGCAGCUAGCCUUGCAAGUCACGAACAGCGUGCACAACACAAAGGCAAGCGUUCCAACACUUGUUGGCGGUGCUCCUGUGGAAGUAAGGAGAUGAAAAAAUGGGAUGAACCAGCUCAUGCACGCAUCAUGGUGUCGUUGCAAUCACAUUUAUAUGCCGAUGAAAGGUAAUAUGCAACUGUAUGCCUGUAUAUAACUGCUAUAUGCCGAUCACAUGUUAUCUCGUUCCUCUGCAGGUUAAGUAUGUGGGAGAUACCGGGAGGAGCAGAACGGCUUGCAGAUGACGGGCUUGAAUCUCAUGGACAAGACGAUGACCGUCCGGGGAGCUAGGAUUGCCUCUUCAGGUUAUGCAAACAUGACUUGAUGCUGUUUUUGGUAGAUGUUGUUCAUGCUAACAUGAAUGGAUGCUGGACCAUAUUGUUUGUGGCAUAGGCAGUAAAGGUUGUCGAUCUAAUAGAUAUUUGGCUAUAUUGUAUUGACGAUCUGUUAGAUGUUUAGCUAUAUUGUAUUAUCUCUACCAGAGACAAAUUUGAAAAAUUCAAUUUUUGCUACAUUGGAUUUGGUUUGAUACAAAUUGUGUUGCCAUAGAAUCUGUGAUAACGUAAUAUUGUCCGUUGCAAAACGAAUUAUUACCACCACAUAUGUUUCCAUGGCAAUAUAGUUUAUUUCGACGAAACCAAUUGUGUUGCCAUAUGAGAUCUGUCACAACGUAAUAUUUUCCGUUGCAAACCGAAUUAUCGCCACCAAACAUGUUUUCGUGGCAAUAUAAGUUAUUACCACGAAAGCAAUUGUGUUGCCAUAGGAUCAGUCACCACGUAAUAGUUUCCGUUGCAAAACUAAUUAUUGCCACCGAAAAUGGUUCCGUUGCAAUAUAGUUUAUUUCCACGAAAUAAAUUUAGUUGCCAUAGGUAUGUCACAACGUCAAAUUUUCGUGGCAAUAUAUUAUAUUGCCACCAUGUAAAUCGUUGCGAAAUACCAUAUUACUAUAGAGUUUGUACGUUGCAACUACGUACUGUAGCAAUGACUGCUUGCGUUGCAAUACAUGCUAAUGCAAUGAAAUCCUCCGUUGCCAUACUCUAUAAUGCAACAAAAAAGUGUGUGGCAAUUACCAUAAAUUGCAAUGGCCCACAAAAAACAUUGCAAAGAGCUAUUGCAACGCCAGUGCUUGCCACGCCUGCCAACCAACCAGUCGCCAUUGCAAUUGCUAGAUCUGCAUUGAUUUUGGGCAUAUUGCAACAUUUUUUUGCCGUUGCAAUAGACCAAAAAUCUAGUAGUGAUUCCAAGGAUCACAUUUAUCCCCUUAGACUUAAGUACUACUAGGUCUGCUAGGAACUCUACCCCACUUAAAUUGAUCCUUACCCGGGAACAACCUAGUUGACACUAAAUGUUAGCUCCAGGCAUUCAGGUUAAUAGGGGUAACUUUAGUAGUAUUGUGGGUAUGUUGUACUUGUCCACAAAGUUGAUGAUAUAAAAGAAUGUGAUGCUCCAGAAUCAAAAAGUAUUGUUGCCAAGACUGAGCUAACUAGGAACUCACCGAGUACCAUGCCCUAAGCUUCUUAAGGCUCUUGCGCGCUGAUGUGGUUGACGCGGGCUCAUCCAAAUGUCUGCGGGGCGGCCUCAUCUGCUAGCUGUAGUUACUGCUGGGGUUGUUGUUGCUACGGACUGGGACACGGUUAGCUCCUGACAAUGCUGACCUUGGUCCAUUUACAGAGUUGGAGAAGGCCGAUGCUACUGGCUUGUUGGCAUAUGGACAGUUGGUGAUGAAAUGCCCUGUCUCACGGCAGUUGAAACAUGCCCUUCUAUUGUUAGUGACCUCAUCGAUGCUACUAUGCGGGGCCUUGAUAGGGUUCUAGCUUCUGAAUGGGGCAUUGGAUUGGUGGGAACUGGAUGCUUGGGACUCGGUCUGGUACUACAUAGGAGCUUGGGACCUAGGUACUAGAUGGCUGAAGCUCCAUGGCUUCUGGAAUCAGUCCUGCUGGUGGGCCUUGCUUUCCAGGAACCGACGCUUGUUGUCCCUCCGCUCGUCUGCUUUGGCCCUCUCAGUCAGGAUGGCCAUGUUCAUCUAGGUGUUGAAGUCGGGGUAGAUCUAAGGAGUAAGUAGGGUCCUCACUUCUACAUUCAAGCCAUUCUUGAACAUAUCCCCAUUCUCCAAGCCUUGAGAUGAAUCUGUUGAGGGUCGCCAUGAAUCUAGUCAGCUUCUAAACAUCCUUGAUGCCUGAUAGGGCAUGCAUAUUAGUGAUGGCAGAUAUCUUUUCUGGAUUUGCCUCAAUUCCUCGUUGACUAAUAAUAAAACCGAGUAGCUUCCUAGAUGACAUGCCGAAGAUGCACUUUGUCGAGUUCAGCUUCCACCAGAAUUCAAGCAGGCUAGCGAAGGUUUCUUCCAGGUCCGCGAUCAUGUCAUCUUGAUUUCUAGUCUUUACGACCAUGUCAACCACGUACGCUUCGACAUUGCGGUGUAUCUGCUUCUUGAAGCACUCCUAGAUUGCCCGUUCAUAUGUAGCAUACGUUCUUCAACCCGAAAGACAUUGUCGUGUAGCAGAAAGCUUUGCAUGGUGAUGAACACAGUCUUGAUCUGAUCUUCUUUGAGAGCUACCUGGUGAUACCCUGAGUAUCAAUCGAGGAAAACAAGUAGGGCGCAUCCAGUUGUGGAGUUGAUUACUUUAUCAAUCCUAGGGAGCCCGAAUCGAUCCUAUGGACAAUUCUUGUUGAGGUAUGUGUAGUCAACGCACAUCCUCCAAUCAUUGUUGUUCUUCUUUCGCACCAAGACGGGAUUGGAGAGCCACUCUAGAUGGUUGAUUUCUUUUAUGAAGCCUGCCGUGAGUAAUUUAGCUAGCUCUUUCUUGAUCAUGUCUCUCAUGUCUUGGGCGAAUCGGCAUAGGUGUUGUCUCUUUGGUGUAGCUUUUGGGUUUACGUUGAGUGAGUGCUCGAUCAGCUCCUUGGGCAGCCCCAGCAUGUCCGCUGGCUUGCACGCGAAGAUGUCUCAGUUGGCCUGGAGGAAACUGAUGAGCGUGCUUUCCCAUUUAGGAUCCAGCCCUGUGCUAAUCAGGUCUAUCGUAGAGCUAUCACCAGUCUCAAGGUCAAUGGCUUUGACGUCGACUGCGCUUGCUGGCUGAACCUUGGUCACCAUCGAAUUCUUUUCUAGAAUCUCGAUCUCUGAUGGGGAUAGUUUCUUGGAUGCGGUGAAGACUUGCAUCGUUGACUUUGGUACUUGAGUAGUCGCUUUUAGCUCCACAGCUUCUGUGUGGCAGUCGUACGACCUCUUCAAGUCUCUGCAUAGCGAGGGUACUCCCUUGGGUCCCAACAUCUUGAGUACCAAGUACACGUAGUGCGGGAUGGCCUUGAAUUUGGCCAGUGCUGGUCUUCCGAGGAUAGUGUGGUAUGAUGUUUUGAAGUUCGCCACCUCGACCCAAAUGUAGUCUGUCUUGUAAUGUUCUUUGGUGCCAAAGUUAACUGGCAAAACCAUCUGUCCAAGGGGCACAACGGAGAGUUCAUCGGGGUGAGCAUACCGAUGACGUCGAAGCCAUCUUCUUCAGCGUCUUGGCGAACAGGACGUUAAGGCUGCUACCGCCAUCAAUGAGUACUUUGGUGAGUCUAGAGCGAGCGACCACCAGGUCUAAGAUGAGAGGGUACCAUCCUGGGUCUGAGAAAAUAGUCCAUAGGUCUUUCCUAGAGAAGGUAAUUUGCACCUCAGACCAUUUAAGGAACAUUGGUGCUGCGGAUUCAAUGGACAUUAUCUCUCGCAAAGUGAGCUUCUGGGACCGCUUGGUAGCAGUGCCCAGGGUUCCACUGAAGAUGACGUUGACUGUGUUGGAGGGGUUCUAGAACUUGUCGUUGUCCCCAUCGUCUUCAUCUUCCUUGGUUUUGCAUUUAUCCUUAGCGCUUAAUGGCUCUAGCAGAUCCUUCAUGACUCUGCGUAGGCUGAAGUAGUCUAACACAGAGUGCUUGUGGUGUGGGUGCAAUGGGCACUGUAUGUUUAGGAGCUCGUUGAAUGAGGGCCUGUCUUGGUUCUUGCCGCCACUUUUCUUGGAUGACUGCUAGAUUGCCACGAUAGUAUUGUCUGGCUUGCGCUUGCGGUUCUAACUUCCCAAGUAGUUAUUUCAGUUGUCAUUGGGGGCAAUCAUUGCGUUGACCAUUACUCUAGUUGUUGUUGUUCUGGCCCUAUUUGUGAUUGGACUCAAACCUUUCGAUCUCCCUAUCUUCAUCAUCUGCCCACGUCUGUGCCAUGAUCUUGAGGGAUUUGACAUCAGCGGGGAGUCUUCUGCCGAAGUCUUGAAUCAUUCGGCGGUCGUGGAGGCCGUUUUAGAAGCAAUCAAAUGACGUCUCGCUAUGUGAAAUCCACAAUUGUGGCCUUCUUGUUGAACAAGCAACGUAAGUAGCUCCGCAGGGUCUCGCCUUCUUGUUGCAUGACCUAGGACAAGUCGAUCCAAUUGCCAGGUGUAACACCCAAAAAUUUCAAAAUUCGCAACUUAAUUAAAUUUGCCAAAUUAAGGUUGCAUUUAAAUUCUUUAGGCAUUUAAAAACCUUUCCAAAUUAAAUUAAUGCAUCAUAGGAGUUUAUUGUUACAUUCAUGCUGGUGCCUAUUUUUGCUUGAGUUGAAUUUGAGUUUGAAUUUCAAAAUUUGAAUUUGUUUCAAAACCCUUUUCUUUUUCUUCUUUUGGGCCGCUUCCCCUUCUCCUCUCUCUUUUCAGCCUAGCGGCCUGUUUUCCUUCUUCCCCCACACCAACCCAGCUCCCUCCGGCCCAACCCUUCCGCGCGCCCAACCUGCCAGCCAUCCCAGCUCGCCCCUCAUCCUCCAGCCGCUGACAGGCGGGCCCCGCCUGUCAUCACCUUCCUUCCGCAACAGCUGCGCUCCUUCCUUUCUUCCGCAACCGCCGCUCCGUUUUCCUUGCGUGCGCUAGAGUCCAGCCCGAGCACGAGCUCGAGCCUGAGCAGGACUCUUCCCCGCAUCCGCCACUUGGCCCGCACGCCAAGACCCCAAUAAAUAGCCGCCGACCCCAGCCCCUUUUUCAUCAAACCCUAGCUAGCCCUCCGUAUGUAGCACCGCUGCCAUUAAAGCUCGAGCAGCUGCCACCGUCACCUUUUUGCCAUCUUGAGCAUCGCCGGAGCUUCGCGUAUUAGUGAGGACCCCGGCCGAGCCUUUUCCACGCGUCCCGCACCCGCUUUUCACCCGUGUGUGCUCGCCGGAGCACCGCUGCCGCUGCUAGACUUUGCGCGUCACCUCCGUUGUGACUUGUCCACCACCGGCCCUUUGAUCGCACUCGCCGUGCUCCCAUCUUUCUCUUGGUGCAAACGGUGCUCAAAACCGCACCCGGAUGCACGUUUUCGGCAAACGCCGGUGACCCGCCGCCGCUCGCCGGCGAAGCGCUGCCGCAAAUCACCGUUCCGCCGCCACGAAGCGCCGUAGCCAUCAGAUCUCGAUCCGAUGGCGCAGAUCCACCCCGCUCGUAGUCAACCGCGUUGUGCUGCUUCUAUUGCAUUUAGGCCCCUGCAGUUUUUACUAAUUGCUCCGCGGUCCGUCGCAGUUCCAAAGUAUUUCAAAACGAGUCCUAUUUUCUUUCGUUUUAAACCCCGCGCUUUUGCAUUUUUGCGCAUUUUUGCGAAACCAUAGAUGCAUUUUUCCGCGUGAAACCUUCGGUUUGUACGCAUAAUUGCCUUUAGGUCCUUGGUUUCUUGCUGUUAAGCCUCGUAGUUUAGUUUUCUCGCAGAUAGGCCCCUGUAGCUUGUUUUAAGCAUAUCUUUUGCAUCCUAGCUCCGUUUUUAGCGUUCUUUAUAUCCACGUGUUCAUUUUGAUGCGUAGAAUAGUUUAUUAAGCUUGUUUCUUUGUGUUUACAUUGACUGGUGUACUGUUUUAUGAUGUUAUGCAUUUUUUUGCUUGUAUGUGCUCAUAUGACACGAGUAGACGGUCAACAGCUCGAGGGGUUCGAGGAACAAGCUUUCGAGGAGUUUAAGCAGCAGGAGCUAGAGCAAGAAGGCAAGUCGUUUCCUUGAUCACUUCUUUAAGUUCUAUUAAACCUUUACUUUCAUGUUCAAUACAACAUAGCUAUCCACUUAAUAGUUUAUAAACAUGAUGGGUCCCAAUUAAGGAUUUCCUAGAUUUCAUUACCUAUGCCUUGACCAACCGGGUUUACUUUAUGUUGGGUAGUUCAUGCUUAUUGUUUUACUUGGGUUAUGGUGGUUAUACUGAAAACAAUGAUUAAAGUUGCUUUACUUAUGCUAUACCUUUCACUAAUAAAAGAUCAUAAAAGUUUAAUUGGAACAUGGAGCGACCACCUAGGAAAAUAGUGCAACCACCAGAACUAUCAUGGCUCUAGUCCUGGCUAACUAAUUAGAAACUCUUGUUUGAAGCGGUCUUACCAAAAGGGUAAGAGAGGCGGCGGUAGAUGGGGUAUAGCACCCUUCCUCUUGGGAAGUGGGCUUAGCUAAGACAAUGUACCCACUAGGGGUUGUUAAACUCUGCUAAUGAUCCAGGAACCUUAGCGGACUACUUCAUAUUAGGAAAUCUUUGUAAAGGCCUCGUAGCGUCCCUAUGCAAUCGCAGCUCCGAAGUGUGGUAUGAUGCCUUGCAAACACUGCAUGGUUGGGUCCAAAGUUCUUUUGAAAUUUUACGUGACUGGUGGGUAAAGAUGUGCAAUCUCUGCAGAGUGUAAAACUGAUCGAUCAGCCAUGCUCACGGUUAAGAGCGGCCUGGACCCUCACAUAAUAAUAUUAUCGAAAGAUGGACUAAAAUCUUUGUCAUUUAUUCAUGGUUAUGUUGCUAUUCUAUUUAUGUUCUUGUUUAAUUUCAGGUGGUAUAAACUUACACUUAGUUAAUACCUUAGCCAUACCUUAAUUUGCCUUACACUACACUAUUCCCCACGACUUGUUGAGUACCAACCAUAAGUGUACUCACCCUUGCAAAAUCGCUGUUCAAACCAAGUGAAUCUAGAGGAGUAUCCGCACGACUUUGAGGAGUUCUAGGUGUUCGUUUCUUCAGUAAGCUACCUGUGGAGUCAUCGCUACCUUUGAAGUCUGCUGCAUAAUAAAGUAGAUUUUUGUUUUAUUGAGACUUUCAGUCAUGUAAUAAUGAUUAAUACUCUCUUUAUUAGUUUUGGCGCUGUCUUUGAUAUUCACGUAUGUCGUACAUAUGUGUAACUUGAUCUUGGAGCACAUGUAUUCAAUGCACUUGAUUUUGUCCUUAAAACCGGGUGUGACACCAAGAUGCUGCAUUGCCUCCUCGUAGUUGUUGGUGAAUGCCACCUUGAGGUCUAUUGGAUUUAGUGACUAGCAGUUCACCAGGGGGUUACCCAGGUGGUAUAUUUGUAGGCGGGGGAAAUCGUGAGACCAAGAACUCGAAUGGUAACACAGAGGCGCAGGAUUUAGACAGGUUUGGGCCUCCGGAGAGUAAUAUCCUACGUCCUGUGUUCUGGUGGAUUGUAUUGCUGAUCGCAGAUGUGAAGAGUUAAUGUGAGGUGGAAUGAGUUGAGUUAUGUUGCGUUACCCUCGGGAGAGGCACCCCUGGCCGCCUUAUAUAGGCUGACAACCUAGGGUUACAAUCAAAUAGGAUCUAAUCCUAGUCGGUUAUUACAUGGAAAGCAAUUUGAGUCGGUUUACAACAAGUAUCCCGUGAUAUCCAGGGUGAAUUGAUAGCCCAGCCUCCUAGCUUGUGCUCCACGCAUAUUCAUGCCUUGGUCCGCGCAGCAUGGUCAGGCGGGCCCACUUGUCAACACCGGUCAGUAUCCUAGUCGGGGGGGACCCAUGGGUACCCUUAUCCUUCAAGCUCCUGAGCGAUGUGGAGUCGAACAGGAACCUGACGAAUGCACAACGAGGCUUGUAAUGUACUCAGCUGAAGGUGCGGUUUCGUCAUAGUGAUGGAGAGGCUGAGCAGUGCUCAAAAAAGAAAGAAAAAAUGGAAGCUUCCAUAGGUGUGUGACCAAACAUGCACGGCUAUGCAACUACCAAGCUUCGGGAUAUCUGGCAUCAUGUAGAUCGAAGGGAAGCACAAGGAGGGUGUCACAAGAUGCACUCCAUAUGGAGAAGCCCCCGAGCAUUGAAGUGAUUAAAGUAAUCAUUCCAAUAGUCAACAAUCUGAUGUAUCAUUUCCAUCAUAAAAGGGAUCCAAAUAUAGCACCUAGCCCCUGAGCGCGAGGACUGGCGGAGCUACAGAGGCACGCCGACUUGAAGUAGGCGUCCAUCCCUUGAGUACGAGGUCUGAUGGAGCCACGAAGGCACGCCAAUCUAAAAUAGGCACCCAGCCCCCAAGCGUGAGGACUAAUGGAACCACGAAGGCACACUGACCUGAAAUAGAUGCCUAAACCCUGAGCGCGAGGACUGGUAGAGCCAUAGAGGCACACCGACCUAAAAUAGGCGCACAGCCCCUGAGCGUGAGGAUUGGCGGACCCACGCAGGCACACCAACCUGAAAUAGAUGCCCAGACCCCGAGUGUGAGGACUAGCAGAGCCAUGGAGGCACACCCACCUGAAAUAGGCGCCACCCCCCGAGCGCAAGGCCAAGCAGAGCCACGGAUGCAAGCCGACCUAGAAUAGGCGCCCAACCCCCGACCGCGAGGACUGGUGGGGCCACGGAGGCACACCGACCAGAAGUAGGCGCCCAGACCCCAACCACGAGGACUAGCGGAGCCAUGGAGGCACGUCGUGCGACUUAACGGAAAACCCGUGGGUUCCAUCCAUCGCUUGCAUCGUAACAAGGGCCCAUGGAUUCCGUCACUAGGUUUACGCCGUUAAUGCCUUCAAAAGCCAAAGAGGCACGGUUUCCUUCUCAUUUCCACUCCACCCGCACCCAAGCACCACCACCGCCAACGCCAUCGCCGUUGCGCCUGGGAGCCCAAGGUCACGCCGCCGCGUCUGCAAGCUGCAUCCAUCGCUCCUCCGCCCAAAGGCUGUAGUCACUGCUACAGCACCACCAUUCCCCACCGCAUGUGAACCAAGAGGCCCGCCAUCAUCAGAUCUAUGUCCCAAGGAGUAGAAACUGAAGAAAUGGCGGCGAAGCAGGCACUAGAUCCAUCCAUGUACUGGGUGAAAUCCAUGAUGAUCGAGGAGAGGAUCCAAGACCUUGUUGACCGCGGCCUGCUCGAUCCCAAGUACCUCCUAGAAUGGAAGGUGAUUGCAGGCCAGGAGUGCCCCACCGAGGACAAGACCAAAGCCAUCAUCUUUGCGGCGCUCUUUGAGCAGGGAUUCGGGAUCCCGACGGGGGAUUUCUUCCGCAGGUUGCUAGAGUACUACAAGAUUGAGUUGGUGCAUCUCAACCCUAACUCCAUUUUGGACAUCGCGGUUUUUAUCCACCUUUAUGAAGCUUUCCUCGGCAUUCCUCCCUAUUUCAAUCUGUGGAGAUAUCUCUACCAACUGAAAAUUGUGUCAACCAAGGGGAAGUCGAGAUUGAUUGGUGGUUGUGGGUUUUCGCUGCUGCCAAAAAGGGUCUUGGAGUAUUUUGAUUUGUAGCUCAAGGACUCGAACAAAGGGUGGCACAAGCAAUGGUUCCUUAUCACCAAUCAGAGGCUCGAGCUGCCACCCUGCCUGGGUAUGCACCGGUGACAAGGCUAGAAUGGUCGAACCAGUUGACCUCCAAGGAGAUGGUCCAGGUCAACUAGCUGCUGAAGGAGAUCGCUAACCUGAAGAGAUGUGGGCUCACAACAGAAGCUGUGAGCAUCAAUUUCUCCAGGAGGCUAACACAGCUAAUCAAGGACAGGGUUCAUCCAGCAUACGAGUACUUGGGUCUGUUGGAUCCGACCUAGGAAGUACAACGGAAAGUUACUCAGGAAGAGGUUGCCAGCCAGGUCUGCGAGCUCUUCAGUGGCGUCAUCAAGAACAAGCACUGCACUAAGGUGUACUCCCUCAUGAGGCCGGCCGACCCAAUAAGAUAUUGGUUUCAUCAAUCAGCUUUCCUACUUUCAAUUUGCAUCUUCUCUAACUAUUCCUGUUGAUUGACCAGAGCCAUGAAUUUGAGUUUUUCUAUCCAACAUCACUUCCCGAAGGGGUUGACCCACAACGGCCAAAGAUCCGGCCCACACCGAUGUUCAGCAGGCACCUGCUGCCCUGGACUGGGAGUCGGACUCAUCCCUUGAUGUCUCCGAUGAGGACGUUCUGGUCCAGGGCAGCAGGACAAAGGCUGGAAGUGCUACUCCUAUUAGGCGGCGGACGUGCCAGGCCAUUCACAAGGUGGUGGAACCCAAGGCACUGGAGGUGAAAAGGGGGAAGAGGAAGAAAAGAGGGGCCACCAAGCCCAAGGUGCCAGCUGGGGCAACCACCUCCCUGUAGAGGCCUCAUCCGGAGACAUAAGUGAUGAUUUUGAGUCACCUAGACUACUCGCGGAGAUGAAGAAGGCCGAGCUCCUUGAGACAACCACUACCGACGCAGAGAACUCAAGGAGCGGCUAAAGAUGGAGAUCCACAGGGGAAAGUGGAAGGAGCUGACCUUGCUGCCGCUAGCGCCUCUUCACCUAAAGUUCCGAGCGAACAAGAGCACACUGUGAGUGAGUCGUGGCGUCACUUAUUGUUGAAAGUUUGUUUGUAUGCUACUUCACCCUUUAUCUGUUCUACACGGACCAAGCAGGGAAGCGGUGAUGGAGAAUGAGGCAAGCAUGUAGGAGGCCAGCGCUGGGACCCAACUGGGAGGUCAUGUUCUUGAUGCGGACCUGGGGGCUGCGUCUACUUCGUCUACCCAGGCCGAACACGUCGGCGACCUGGUGGUAGAGCCGAAGAGGCCCAAACAAAAGUAUCCAUCGAGCCUAGAUGCUGCAGGGGGUGCUACCGUCUCCACACCCAGGGCCACGGAUGCUAGCACCAUGGAGUAGAUGGAGGGGAGCCCCAAGGAGGUGCCGGCUGACACCAAGGAGACAGGCUAUGAUGCAAACGUCAAUGCCCACGCGGAUGACGAUUCCACCACGCUGGACUUCUCUAGGACAGACCUUGCACAGGAUGUGGCGGAAGACAAGAAAGAGAUUGCCGUCCUUAAGGAAGCCUCAGCCAAGGUCAAGGAGGUUUUAUACGUAAGUUGGCUAACCUAUCUUGAUGCUGACUUUUGUCCCUGUCUUCCAUCUUUGAAAUGUUGGAGUAACUUUCGUACAGAAUCUGGCCGAACGCACGCACAACAAGGCGGAUGCCAUCGACCGUGCUGAGGAGUAUCACCUUAAAGCCGAGCGCCUGAAGGCCAAGGUCAAUGGGGUCAACGACGAUGCUGCGGAGCAGCUCCAACGUAAGGCUCGGGAGCUGGAGGAGUAGAAGAAGAUCACCAAGGAGGUCCAGGACGACCAUGGUGCUUUGCAGACUGGUACAACUUCGUCCCUUAUGGAGGAUCUAACUUAGGUAGAUGAGGCCGGUAUCUUUUCCUGAGUUCCGCUAUUUUGCAGAUGCCCACAAGAAAGAGGAGAGACUCAAGAGAGACCUCAAAGAGUGCGAGGCUGCCAAUGCCCGACUGCAGCAAGACCACGAUGUCGCCGUGCACCGUGAGUAUGCUGUGUCGCAAAUACUUGCUUAUGAGGCUAGCUUGCACAAGGAUAUGGACCGGUGCUUGGUUUCCGCAAUGCACAGUCUCCAGUAUGAUCAGGUGGUCAUUGCAAGUUUGGAGGUGGAGCUGGAAGACCUGUGGUUGGCCGCGGGCUACGUAAUGGACAUGGUCCAGGCCGAGGCCAAUCCUACCGAGCCAACGCAGUUGCUGGACUGACUGAGGAGUGCUCCUCGUUAGCUGAAGGAGCUCAUGAUGGAGACUGUUGUGGAGUGCACGAAUAACAUCAUUGUGCUUCUCAAGACACACUACCCUUGAGUGGCAGUCAAGCGCGUCGGAGCAGGGGUAGCUAAAGGCUUCGAUCCUGAUAGCCUUCCAGAGUUGGCCGACCAGUAUCAACUGGCUGCGGAGGAGGUAGUUAAGGAGUUGGACCUGUAAAAUAAAACUAAGAUGUGUAUCAAUCUGUGUCAUGAGACAAGUAAACAUAUUGAUUAACUUAUGUAAAGGCAAAACUCCUUCCUUCGCUUGGUGUGUUUGAUAGGAUAGCGUGUGGCCAAGGCCUGUAACCACUAAGCGCCUAGCCUUGCCUAGCCAGCACUCUAUUGAGAGCGGAUCUUGAGCUUGUAGAGGGGGCGAGCGCAAGGUUGUCUAGGUUUUGCAUGCUAGGACUCUAUCCACACGAGUUAGUCGCACAACCUUAAGACGAGUAGGAGAAAAGUUGGGACCCAGAGGUCAGUGCGUAGCGGGGGAAGCCCCUGAGCGUAAAGGUGAGGGUGUGGUCUGUCAAUCAGGUCAGACAGUCCCCAAGCAUGAGUAAGAGCUCGGUAAAAAAGAGCAAGAAGGUAGUAGGUACGCAAAGAAUCUCUAAGGUUUUAUUUAUUCAAUGUAAAAGGUAUAAAGAGUACAUAGCUUGAAUGUCCAAAGGGUAGAAGCGUCACAGGUUUUGAAUGUUCCACAGGUUCGGGAUGCCUGAGCCAUCCGCUCACUGCAGCCAGUAAGUGUCGGGCUGGACAACUUCUUUAAUGAUGGAGGGCCCCUCCCAUGGGGCCGACAGCUUAUGCAUGUCCUUGGUGGACUGGAUCUAGUGGAGCACUAGGUUGCCGAUGUUGAAUGAGCGUUCAUGGAUGUUCCUGUCAUAGUAGCGUCCAAUCUGCUACUUGUGCCAUGCAUGCUGAAUGAGGGCCACCACACGAUGCUCUUCCAGGCUGUCAAUAUCGACCUGCUGACUCUUUUCCGCUUCCCCUUCCUCGUAGUAUUGAAUCCACGGGGCACCAAAGACUACUUCUGUUGGCAGUACAGCCUCUGAGCCAUAGACGAAGAAGAAUGGAGUGUAGCCGGUGACCCGACCCUUUUGGGUACGGAGGCCCCAAAUGACUUGGGGUAACUCACGAAGCCAUUUGGUAGCGUACUUGGACGCAUCAUCAAAGAUGCAAGAUUUGAGGGAUUGGAGGACCAUCCCAUUCGCAUGUUCGACCUUGCCAUUGCAUUGUGGGUGAGCUACUGAGGAGUAGUAUACGUCGAUGAGGUUGUCCUAGUAAAAAUCCCAGAAUUCGGAUCCUGUGAAUUGUUUGCCCAUGUUGGUGAUGAUCCUAUUGGGGACCCCAAAGCGGUGUGUAAGCUCUUCGAUGAAUUGAGCGGCUUUAGCCAACCCUAUGCUGGUGACAACCUUGACUUCAAUCCACUUGGUGAAUUUGUUAACUGCCACAAAGAUAUGGGUGUAUCCGCACAGAGUGGUCUUGAAAGGGCCGACCAUAUCCAGCCCCCAGCAUGUGAAGGGCCAAGAUGGUGGGAUGGUGCGCAGGGCCUGCGCUGGAAGGUUCUGCUGCUUGUAGAAAAAUUGGCACAUUUUACACCUCUGGACGAGCUCUUUUAUGUCGCCGAUAGCAGUUGGCCAGUAGAAACUAGAGCGGAACGCUUUCCCGACAAGAUUGCCCGAGGUGGCAUGGUUCUCGCACAAACCUGAGUGGAUUUCGUGGAGGAGUUCAAGGCCUUUGUUGCGGAGGAUGCACUUCAUCAGAAUGCUAGUAGAUGCAGUCUUCCUGUACAACACCUUACCAAUCACAACGUAGUUGGUGCUGCAUCAUGUGAGCUUUUCAUGCUUAGCUUUGUCGUCUGGGGACAUGUUGUUGGCGAUGAAUGCGAUGAAAGGUGUGCACCAGUUGUCUUUCGCCUCAAUCAUUAGGACAUCAGUGGGCGCUUGGUUGGCCUAAGCCUAGGUGUUGCCGUCAGCUUGGUCCAGGUCUGAUAUCUUGAUAGAGGGUUUUCUCAAGUCUUGGACGAACAUGCCGACCGGGACUUGGGCACGUUUCGAACCGAGCUUGGAUAGGACAUCGGCGGCGACGUUGUGCUCCCUAGAGACGUGAUGGAACUCGAGACCGUCAAAGUGAGCCUCGAGUUUGCGGAAGUUGGCGCAAUAGCUGUCCAUGAUUUCCUUGGUGCACUCCCAGGACUUGUUGACCUGCUCGAUCACAACCUUGGAGUCACCAAAUGCGAGGAUGCACUUAAUGCGAGCGAGGAAACGAUGCGGAGCCCGUGUAUGAGGGCCUCAUACUCGGCGCCAUUGUUGGUAGCGUUGUAGUGGAUCUAGAGGAUGUACUUGAGCUGCUCACCUUUCGGGGAUAUGAAGAGGACCCCCGUGCUAUCUCCUUCGAGGUUGAGGGCGCCGUUGAAGUACAUCGUCCAGUUCUCUAGCCUCUCCAGGGAGGGCGGCUCUUGGAUCUCAAUCCAUUUAGCGAUGAAGUCGGCCAAGAUCUGGGACUUGAUCGCAUGACGUGGGCAGAAGUCGACAUCAAAUUCCCCGAGUUCCAAUUACCAUUUGACUACUCGGCCGUGGAUGUCCCUGUUGUGCAGGAUUUCGCCGAUCGGGUAGGAGGAGACCACUCAGAUCUUGUGCACUUGAAAGUAGUGACGCGAUUCAAGGGAGGUGACCAGGAUUGCAUAGAGAAAUUUCCAAACCUCCGUGUAGUGGAUCUUGGAGUCACUUAGGACCUUGCAAACAUAAUAUACUGGCCUUUGCACCAUGAGGACGUGACCUGGUCCUUCGCGUUCUACAACUAACACCGUGCUCACAACAUGUGUUGUCGCGGGGAUGUAUAGCUGCAGCGUUUCUUGGUCGACCAGGGCCAUAUGGACAGGAGGGGUGGAGAGGAAUGUUUUGAGUUCCUCAAGGGCCUUGCGGGCCUCAUCAUCCCACUCGAAUUUGCCCGCCUUCUUGAGCAUCUUGAAGAAGGAAAGUCCCUUUUCGCCAAGCUUGCUGAUGAAGCGGCUAAGGGCCACCAUCAAGCCUAUAAGCUUCAUGACGUCUUUCUUGCCGGCUAGCUGCACCAUGUUUCUUGGCGUCCACUUUGACAGGGUUAGCUUUGAUGCCAUGUUGGCUGACCAUGAAGCCCAGGAGCUUUCCAAACAGGACGCCGAAGAUGCAUUUUCCCGAGUUGAGUUUCAAGCGAUAGGCACGGAGGCUGUUGAAGGUUUGCGCAAGGUCGACGAUGAAGUUUUCUUCAUCUUUGGUCUUGACGACUAUGUCGUCAAUAUAGGCCCUUAUGUUUUUGCCAAGUUGUUUCACGACGCAACCCUAGAUUGCCUUCUGGUAGGUGGCACCUGCGUUUUUUAACCCAAAGGGCAUGGUGUUGUAGCAGUAGAUGUCGUAGGGUGUUGUGAACACAGUCCUAUCUUGGUCAGCGGGGUUGAGGGUGAUCUGGUGAUAGCUCGAGUAGCAAUUGAGGAAGCAUAGCAAGGUGCAAUCGGCUGUGGACUCCACGACAUGGUCGAUGCGAGAAAGAGGGAAGGGGUCUUUAGGGCAGUGCCUGUUGAGAUCGGUGUAGUCGAUACACAUUCUCCAUUCAUCAGUUUUCUUCUUUACAAGGACUGGAUUUGCUAACCAGUCAAGGUGCUUGCAUUCAUGGAUGAAAUUGGCAGCGAAGAGAUUAUUUACUUCCACCCUAAUGAACUCCUUGCGACCUUCAGCGUAAUGGCAAAGCUCCUGCUUGACCGGCCUUACUGUCUUGCUUAGCUCCAAGGAGUGCUCAGCCAGCUCCCGCGGGACACUGGGCAUAUCGGAUGGUUUCCACGCGAAUAUGUCCGAGUUGUCCCAAAGGAAACUAGUGAGCACAUCUUCCUAUUUGGGGGUCAGGCUGGCCCCGAUGAGGGCCGUCUUUGAGGGGUCUUCCAGGCCGAGGCUGAUCUUCUUAACUUGCGGGUUGGGCUUUAGCGGCAUGGGCAUCGGGUCCGCCUCUAGGAUCGUCAGCUGACUCUGGUCCACCUUCUUGGACUCGGCGAGCAUCAUGGUGGCAUUGGCUAAGUACUCCAGCAUCUUGGCAAGCUGCACAACUUCCGUGUCGCACUUGUAGGAUGUUUCAACAUCGCCGAAGAUGGAGAGGAUGCCGUUUGGAGCUAGCAUCUUGAGGAUGAGGUAGGUAUGGCUAUACCUGACAAUGGAUCGAAAUCCGUCCCUAACCCUGCUUCAACCCUCUAAUCAAAAUAGUUGGCCCAAUCCUUAUCCAACCCUUAAUUUAUUACUAGUGCUUGAUCCAAUUCAAUCCUUUAAGAAACAGUACAUUGAUCCAACCAUGAUCCUUUAUUUGCCCACGGGCCAAUAGAAGCAUAACGAUCCGUGGGCUCUAAUUAGUACAAGCAAGCAAGCAAGCAAAGAUGAUCUGUGAGCUCUAAUUAGUAUAAACAAGCAAGCUAGCAAGUGAUGCAUUACACAGUACACGUUGAGCAAAGAGGAUCCGUGGGUUCGUUCUGUACUAGCUGUUCGACGAGCAUAGACACAGUACAUGUUGAACAGGUUCGUUCUGUACUGAACUCGUUGAACAUGUUCAACAGGAACAUUUAGCCUUACACAUUCAACUGCUAAAAGAAAGCAAGUGUCAAGCGACUGGAACUUUGCGGCAGGCGCUGAGCACAUCGUCCAUAGGAGCAUGGUCGCCGGUGCCUUCGUCUCUCCAUGAGUACAGCAGCUCCUUCCCUCUGAACACGAACAUCCCACUCUGGAGACAGAAACGAGAAACCAUAAGCGGACAAGAAUCUUCAGAGUUCAGGUAAAAUAAGGUAGCUUUAGGACAUCAAGUAUAAACAGCAAAAGACAUUGUCAAGCAUGCAUGAAUGGAUGUAUCUAGAUCAAGGAGUGCACAAGACAAUCAGAAACAUUUGUCCAAUUCCAGCGCAUAAAACAGCAAAGACGUUAUGUAAAUUGAUUAAAUUGAAAUACAAUUGGCCAAAUACAACAGCCUAGUGUAAGACCCAUUUACCUUUAUUCAUCAUCUUCAUCUUCCUCGUCUGAAUCAAACAUUCUAUGACCGGUCAUUGGUUCACCUUCUUCUUCUUCAUCAAACCCGAUUAGCCAAUCUUUUGCACAUAUCAAUGCUUCAAGCGUUUCAGGUGAGAGAGAUGUCUUAUUUUUUCCAAGAAUCCUUCCAGCUGCACUAAAGGCUGAUUCUGAGGAUACUGUGCUAAUAGGAAUAGCAAGAAAAUCUCUAGCCAUCAAGGAUAAGAUUUGAUAAGCAUCACAAUUCUUCUUCCACCAUGCAAAAACAUUGAAUUGCUCAUCUGACCUCACAAGGACUCUAUGGUCCUCUAGGUAAGUAUCCAGCUCUGACCGUUCUUGAUGGGCCUGCGAGCUUUGGGAUGCAAACUGAGCGAAUGCAAGCUCUACACGCCUUUUACUAGAAACUUGUCUUAAAGAAGUGCUACCAGACUCGCCAAACUCACUUGUGCUCUGCUCAUCAUUUGUUAUAUCGAACACAAGUACACUGUUGCUCCUAACAAUCUUUUCAUACUCUAGGUAAUAUUUCUUCAAAUACCUAUUCAGCUCCCUCAUUUUCACUUCAACAUUUUCACCAAUGGUAUAGAAAUAGAACUUGAUGAAGUCAGUUUUCAUACUUGGAUCAAGAACAGCAGCUAUUAGAAGAGCAAGAUUAGGUUUUGUCCAGUGCUUUUCAAACUUUGCAUGCAUGGCAUUAGCUAUUUCAUUAAGGAGCUCAUUUGAAUUCCAGGCCUCAACAAGCAAAACAUCUCGGAUUGCUAGCAACAUCUUCAAGAAAAGGUGGGCUGUAGGAUGCCUAUCUGCGGAGAAUGCUUUAGUUGCCUCACUAAACUGUUGCAAAAAUCCAUGAAGGGAUUCAGCUUUUGCCCAUAUUCAUCUUCACUUGGAACUUGGUGAUGUUGCUCUACCACAUAUCUAUUCAGUGCCACCUUAUAUUUCAAAGCAUCAUGCAACAUAUCAUACGUAGCAUUCCAACGGUGCGGAACAUCCAGAAUCAGUCCUGACUUUGCUUUGAGGCCUGAAUUCUGCACAAUUGUGUUGAAAAUCUGCAUGUCGGGAUGGUGUGGAUGUAACAACUUUUACAAUGUCCCUCACUCUCCCAAUUGCAUUUGAAAUUACCUUCACACCAACCUGAAUCAUGAUGUUGAGCACAUGGGCAGCACACUUGACAUGAAGGUGUUCACCUUUGAAGAACAUCCCAACACCUAAAGCAUCACGAAUGUCCUUUACUGCUUUGUUAUUCACACUAGCAUUGUCUAAUGUCAAGGUAAUUCCAUCUUGUACCGCGUAUGAUGUAUGUGGGAAAGAAAUAUUUUUGAAUGCUAUGAUUUUCUUAUGCAGUUCAAACUCUGCAUCAAUGAGAUGUGCUAUAACACCUAGAUAGCCUAGGUUCUAGUUAGAAGACCAUAGAUCGGUUGUAAGACUAACAUGGGACUUCACCUUUCUGAACUUGUCCAUCAUCUGCAACUUCUCCUCUUCAUAAAAUAAAACACAAUCUGUGCGUACACCUUGACGACCAACAACUCUAAAAGAUGGCUAAUAAUAAUUUAUCAGGUUUAUCCAAUGAGGAUCAUCAGCUUUAUGGAAAGCAAUCUCUGCACUGAUAAAAUAUUUGGCAAUCAAAACACGAAAUACUUCUGGAUCAAAGACACCCAUUUCCUCGUUCAGAAACUUUGGCUUCAAUGUUGCAAUGAAUCUGUCCCUAUCCUCUUGCGGAAUGGAAUGACAGUGAAUUGCAAUGUGUCUGUUGAGGUGCAUUGUACCUUUUCCAGGUUCAGAGGACAAUUGAAACUUAAAGUAUCUGCAUAUUGCCUUCUCCUUGCCAUCAACCACUUCGGUAUCCACAAAUUCCCAAACUUUAGCUCUCUUUCUAGAUGAUCGACUUGACUGGUCAGUUACCAGACUAUCACGACUUUCAACCUCAACCACAACUUCCUGUCCUAUAUCCAUAUCACCUAGAUGAUACAAAUGCAAUUUCAAUAUAAGAUAACAAAAGGAAUCACAAUUGUUGCAAUAAAAAAUUAAAACUACUGAACAUAUAUCACGAAAAUAUGAGCCUAUGACUAUGACUAAAGCAUAUAAGCUAUACUUACAAUUGUUGUUUAUAUAGAGUUAUAUCUUCAUGGUAGUUUAUUUACAAUUUUAACUUGGUCAAUCUAUCGGUACAUUUUUAAAUACUGUCGAAACUCAAAAGUGCAACAUUCAUUCAAACAGGCACAUGCCAUCCUAACCUAGGGAUGUGAUUGACACACAUGUAGUUGAAACAGCACACAGAAGAGAUGAACUAGCAUGGCAACCACGGCGACAUCAAAAUACACCAACUAAAAGUAUGCUUUCGAUGCUAGCAGCAAUGCAACGUAGGGUAAAGGUAAGAGCAUUACCGCUCAUAGCAAGCCACACCAGCAAACCUGCAGAUUGAGAAAAGGAAUCGGCUAACCUACAGAUUGGAAAGAAUCGGCUAGAUUAGAGACCUGCAAAUACCAGGGGAGGAAUAGGCUAACCUGCGAAUACUAGGCUGUGCAAUACCAGGCGGAGCUGGACUAGUGCGGCCGAGGCUCGCGCGGAGGAGGCCCCUCCUCACUGGAUCUUGGAGCCAGCCCCUCAGCGACGAUCUUGGAGUCGGCACCUCAGUGAGGAUCUUGGAGUCGCAGGCCGCCACCCCGCGACGUGACCGCUGGCCUCUCGCAGCGCCGCCACCGCCGCUCGCGAGCCGUCUCGUGUAGGUGCUUGUGCGCUACGUUUAAGGCCCUCUUUGUAUUUCUGCGAGCCUGAUACGUUAAGGCCCUUAUCUGAUCUGCGGGUUACGAUCCACACGUUGAGCUCGAGCCACAGCUACAAUUCAGCCCUUUUAACAAGCAGUCCGAUUCGAUUCGGCCCUUCUCUACAGGAGCCCAUAUAGCAUCUGUAAAUCACAGCCCAUGAGUUUGGAGGCCCUUAUGUCCCUUGGAUAUACAAGGCCCAUUACCAGGAGUAGGUAUGGCUGGGGAUCAUCAUGAACCUCGGCAGCAUUGGCCUGCCAAAGAUGGCAUGGUAGAAGGUCUUAAAAUUGGCAACCUCGAAGCUGAGGUGCUCGGUGUGGUAGUUGUUGGGGGUGCCGAACUAUGACAUCCCUAGUGUUAAAAGAACAAAACAAGAGAAAUUACAAAGGAAAUCAGAAACAAAUCAAAGUUGCCAAGUGUCAAAAUUCAAAAACCUUUCAAAUUCUUAUUUGGGUAGGAUUUUAAAAACAAAAUUUUAUAUAAGAACUCAACUUUUUUCCAAUAUAAAAGUUGUAGAACUUUUCAAAUUAAAAAACUUUCUUGUCUGAUUCUGAGUGGAAGGCAUUCAAAAAUUGGGUCAAAGUUGGAUCAAAUUCAAGCCAAAUUCAAAUCAACUUUGCCCAGCGUUCCACCAAAGUUUCGACGAGUUUAUCUCCAAAUAUGUUGUGUCUUUCACCCAUUAGCCUUUGUAGAAGUUGUAGUCUAUAGUUCAAACUCCAACUUCUAUAUUUGAACUUUUCAAAGUUUGGUUUAAAAUUUUGGAGUAAAAUCGCCUGAAAGGUGCUGCCCUUGCGCGCCACGUGCAACCCCACGUGCGUCCGGAUCGCGGUGAUCGCGCACGGCGUGUGCGCCGACGCCACGUCGCGCCGCCCGGCUGGCCACUCGCCGUCACCCAACCGCCACCGGUGCCAAUACCGCACGAGCCCGGCCUUCGCCCGCUCAGCGUGCCAUGCAAUCCUUCCCUCCGCAUGCCUUAUCUCACCUAGCCAACCUCGGGGUGCGGGCCACGCACGCGCAAGCUCCAUACGCCACCAGCAGCCACUCGCACGCUGCCUCCGCCUGCCGCCUCUGCCCGACCGCCUCCGGCCUGCCCAAUGUGCCACGAGCUUGUCAUGGGUGUCGUCUUAUCCUCCCGCCAUUUUGCCGCUAUAAAAGGGCAAUGCCUAGCUCGCCGGUGCCACCCUUUCACCCCCGCACCAAAGCUCGCCACAUCGCCUUUGACACCCACUAUCGAGCUCCUACCUCCGAGCCACACCGCCGCCACCGGAGCCACAUGCCACCUUCCCGAGCCCUUCCCUAGCUAUCUCCGUCGCCGCCUUCGCCGGAGACUAAGCUCCCACGACUACGCCGCCACUGCCACAUGCAGCACCGCCGUCGGACCUCCUCCGCCCUCGACCCCCACAGCCCGAUGACCACCGGUGAGCCCCUCGUCGCACCCGUGCCCUUAGCUCGCACCCACCUCACCAGAGUCCGCUGAAAUUUCACCGCCGCGCCGCCGGCUAGACCCCCAAAGGACCACAUUGCAAAGCCAAAACUAGUUCUAGGGACUUAGGCGUAAAACAUAGGGGCCUUGCUGUAAAGCUUCAAAAGAUUUAAGGGUCUGGUCGUAAAACGUGCUUCCUUUUUCGGUUUAAAUUUGAUUUAAACGGUGAAACUUGGAAAAUGCAUAGGAAAUGGUAGAAAAAAUGGGGAAAAUCUGAAACUUGUUUUGCUAGGUUCCUGAUGAUGCCUAGUUUAAUUUAAAAAAUAUUCAUGUGCAUAUAACUGUCCUAUAUCUGGUGUUAGAAUUUAUUUUGUACAAAAGCUAUUAAAUGCUUAAUAAAUCAUAGGAUGCUCUAAAAAAUGUGAAACCACUUUUGUUAGCUUCCUUUUCACAUGCAUGUUCUAGAUCUGCAACUUUCUUAAUGGAAUCCAUGAUGCUCAUACUGUUUUACAUUCAAAUGCUUAAUUGUUGUUUUAAUAAGUUAAUAGCAUGGUAAUUAGUGGAAAGUAGAUAAAAAUGCAAGAUAAAUUUUGUUAGAUUCCUGAUGUACAUGUCUGACUAGUAAAAAUACUUGUUCCUGUAAAAUAUGUGUUUUCCAUUGCAUAAUGAAAUACAUGUUGUUUAAUCUCCUUUUUAUGUGCUAAAUAGUUUUUUCAUGCUUAUAAAACCCUGAAAAAUUUAAAGUAGCAUAUGUUACUAUUGGUAAUAUUUCUGUAAAAUUUGUGGAAUCAAACUGAUGAUAGGACUCUAGUUAAAAAAUCAUUCUUCAUGUUCUACAAUUUAAUACAGUUUGGUUUUUAAUAAGUUCUGUAGAUGUCAAAUGCAUUUCAAAUUUUUAGAGUAGAUCACUUGUAUAGAGGAAAAGCUUCUAUAAAACUUUCAUGUUCAUAUCUUAGCAGAUGCUUCCAGAAACAUUUAUUCAUGUUUAAGAGCUAGUUUAUUUAUUAAUAAAAAUUGCUACUAGAAAUGGUAGACUAGCAAAAUGAUUAAUUAUGUUUUUAUUCAGAAACAGGAUCACUUUUGAAAUGAUUGCCAAAUAGUACCAACAUGACACCACCUUUCUUUUAUGAAUUCUAAGUUGUUAGAAUCUUAUAUGUGUACACAAUCACCAUCAAAGUAAAACCUAGGUCUUAAUCACAACCCAUCUUGUUUUGCGAAGAAAAGAUUUGUUAAAGUCUUGUCUAGGUGAAUGUGGACAAAAAGAAAGAAAGGGUUAAAACCUUGUCUAGGUGAAUGUGGUCGAAAAUGCAACCACGAAAUGCAACCUACACCAUGAAAGCGUGUAAUUGAAAUCUUAUGCAUAUGCAUAUCGUGUACAAGCUAAUCUCGCUGACGGUACGUACGAGUUGGUUUCGGAAGCUUAAGAGGAACACUCGACUGCUGUGGUGAACCUGAUCGAGGCCACACAAGACCCGAGCGAAGCUUCAGAAGAGCCAUAGGCUAGCGUAGUACAAGAAAGCAAGCCACGAAGCAUAACCUUGGUUUCUAAAAUUAUGCAAUACUUUUGUUACUUAUGUUUAUGCAUUAAGUUCAUAGGAGUUGCUUGAAAUCUUAGUUGCAUGCUCCUGGUAUCCAUGUGUUGAAUACUAGCAUGAUAAGUUGAGUAGUUGCUAUGCUAAAUAGGCACACAGCAAAAGUCGAGUGAUUUCCUAUCACUCGCGAGCAAUAGGAGUUCCUUGUUUACUUAAGUUGGAAUCAUAAGGUUGAUGGGCGGGGCUUGGUAAUAUAUUUUGUAAUUGGUGGAUGCCCCAUCUGUUUAGAGGAAAAUUGCAAAGGUCAAAAUGUGUUAGAGUUGUGGUCAAGUGUUUAAAAGUACUAAACACAUACCGAGUAUGGGAUCGGGAAGCCUUGUACCUGAUUGAACCGAGGUGUGGACAUACUCCCUGCUCUCUCUAGAACCAGGUUCCCCUGAUGCAUCAUGUGGGUAUAAGUGCAGCCUCGGUACGGCGUAGUUCCGGGACUGGUGGGGCCUUAUAUCCAAGGGAAGUGGGCCCUGGUCACGUGCCGGGGAUCGAUGGAAAUGGCUGCAUAUGUGAACCCAGCAUGGUACGCAUAUGUCAUGUGUUUAGGUCCAUCUUACAAGGUUAAGAAAUUCGAUUUGAACCGUCUGCUUCUCACAGUUUGGGAUUGCUUGAUCGCCUUUCGGCACUGAGUAAGAAGAGGAACAAGGAUGAUGAUCAAUAUUGAUGCUUGAUUAAUUUGCUUGUUUCACCAUGCUUUCUUAGAAUAAGUGUUUACCUAGAAUCGUUAAUCAACUAGAACUUGGUGCUAAAACUUGAAAGUAACGAUCCAGUUUAGAAGCUUUUGGCAAAACAAACCCCUCAGCCAAAAAGCCUCGUGCGAGCUUUGUAUACUUGUUUCGAUCAGAAACACAUGGUUGUAUCAAGUGAAACCAGACAGACUACCAUUUUAAUUCGAUUAAAGUGUUUAUUCGCAUUUGAUGUUGAGAACACUUUAUCCGGGUUAAUUCGGAUGGUUCUGCCACACGAACGUGACCGGUAGGAUGACUCUCCCGAUAGGAUAGGAUCCUUUGCUAGGUACUAUGCCGUAGAACGGGUCUUCGCAGGGAAGGAGCCGCUCAAAGUUGAAGUCCAUGCGCUUCAAGGUCUUGAUGAAGAUGAUGUUGAGGUCGUUGCCACCAUCAAUCAGCACCUUGGAGAGGAGGACUCUAUCAAUGGUGGGGCACACCACCAAAGGGUAAGACCCGCGGUCUGGGAUGUGCACCCAGUGAUCUUUCUUAGAGAAGGUUAUGGGUAUCUCCGACCAGCGCAGAUACUGGACUGGUGUGACGGAGACGAAGUGCAUUUCCCACCUUUGCAACUUGUGCUUGUAGUUACUUCAGAAAGCUUUAGGGCUGCCAAUGAUGAUGUUCCUUGCAGUAUUCAUUCCAGCAAGGUUGCUUGUAUUCCACUGGGGUGAAAAACUCUUUCUUGAGGACCAUGCUGUAACAUCCGCAAAAAUCACCAACUUAAAUCACCUGCUAAAAAUUAUUUUCAAAAUCUUGUUACCGUUGAGCUCUCGAAAAUCUAAUCUUCCUGGCGAUUUCGCCGUCCCGACACCCAAAGCCGACAACCAUCAUUGUUAUCCUCUCCGUAAAUUUUGCCGCGUGCCGGUUGACAAACCGCCGUGCGUGCUCCGACCGCAUUCCGCAAUCACCGCCGGCUCUCCCUUUCUUUUUCUCUUCUUCCUCCCAUUUCUUUUUUUCUUUUCUUUUUUCCUCCUCUUUCUUUCUUCCUUCUUCUUCUUCCUUCUUCUUCCUUCUUCCUUCUUCCUUCUUCCUUCUUCUUUCUCCCUCCUCCUUUCUUCCUGGCGCCCAGGACCACUCCCCUGGCGCCCAACCCCCUGGCGCUCGACCCCCGGCGUCCGGCCCUGCCUACGCGCCAGCCCCCGCUAGCCCUGGCCCCCCGCCUGCGCCCGGCCGGCGCGGUGUGCCUAGCCCAUCCUACCUCGUCAGCCGCGACGUGCGCCCGGCGCCGGUGCCGGCGCGCCUGCCGCGACGCCGCCCCCCCCCCAGCGCCCGUCCCCUACCGCACAGCACCGGGCCCCACCGGCCCCUCCCAUCGCCAACCCCUUCCUCGCCAGCCCGCCCGAGCUCGCCGGACCGGGGCCCCCAUGGCCGGAGGCUCGUCAUCUUCCUCCCUGCCAGCCUAUAAAAAGGGGGAGGGCGAUACCCCCAACUCACCACCCAACCUCCCGCCCAAGCCGCUAGCACCUCCCUCGCUCUCCCCAAGCACCGCCCGUAGCGUCGCCCUCACCCGUAGCGCCGCCCUCACCUGUGCGCUGCCGCCUCCUUACCCACUACUGGACGCCCCCUUCCCCAUCAUCAAAUCCCCAAGGUAAGGGGCAAAACGGAGCCCCCACGGCCUCCUCUACCCUCCCCCGCCGUUUCCCCUCGCCACUGGCGAGCCUAUGCCGCCGCCCCUAGGCCGGCCACCCCCUCCCUCUCUCUAUGUACCAUACGGUACAAAGGAGGAAGAAAACCCCCCAAUUUCGAUCUAACCCCCUACUUCUCUCUAUUCACGAAAUAACCCUCCCACCUCUCUCAUACUCCUUUCGCAGAUCAGCCCCUCCACCUCCCAAAAGUAUUUACAAAUAGGUCCUUGGUUUCUCGCGGUUUAGUCCUAAACCCUCUUUUAAGCCCCUAAUACUCCGUUAACUCGUCAUUUCAUGCGCCAAACUUCCUCCAAUUAAUCCCAAAUUUGACCACGUCAUCCUCCAGUAUACUUCCGUUGAGCCAUAUCCAAAUUUCAUGAAAAUACUCAUCCCUUCUAUUUUCCGUUCGUGUUCUCUGUUCGGAGCUCGACGGGUAAAAUCUUAUUUUCUUUUUAUUUAUUGUGUGCUCAUUUGUGUGUGCCGUAGAUCGUGGAGUACCCGAGGAGGAGCACGAGGAGGAGUUUGACCGUGAGCCUGAGCUCGAGGACCAGCACCGCGAGCAGGAACUCCAGGAAGGCUUUGAGGACAACAAGUCCAAUCUCACCCUUUGAUGCAUAUUUAUUCCUAGUUUUUCAAACACAAUCUGUUGGCUUGUUUAUAAAAUUGCAUAUUAUUUUUCUGCUGAAACAUGGUUGGAUAGCCACCCCUUGAUUGCUAUGAAUAUUCCUUAAUUGUCCUAUAAUUAUCUUUAAAUAUGAUUUGCUCUGUUUGGAUGAUAAUUACUGCUAGAAUGCUUAGGACCUUGUUACUCAAUUCAAUCAUGACCACAAUGUGUUUUGUUAAAGAAUAAAUGUGUGAGUGUUUUAAAAAGGGAAGUUGGUUUUUCGGGAGUAAAGGAAAGAAAUGCUCAGAAGAGAUGGAUGGGCGUUUCAUGUGCGGAAUGCCAACAUGUUGGGCUCGUACCUUGGUGGUUGAGCAAGGUUUGGAGAUAUACAUCUUGUCAUGGUUAAGGACCGAGUUGAUGUGUCAUAUUGCAUAACUCAACUAUCGUGCAACCACUCAACCGUUGUAUGGGCGACGGCUUAGCAUAAAUCCCACUAGCUAAACUAUUAGUCUUUGGGUGAGCUGGUGAGCAACGGGAGCCCAUGGAAAAGGAGUAAGAUCUUUGUGAUUUAGGUCCCGGCUAAGACCUCAUUGGUAGGUCAUUAACCCCUUGGUCACUUUCGUGUGGACUAGUCAGUCUUAGCUAAGGUGGGUAAUGGCUUUGUUAGGAUCCGCAUCGGCACUAAGGUGAUCGUGCUGCGGUACCCUACUUGUGGGAAAAGUGUACAACCUCUGCAUAGUUAAAACCUAUCCGGGUAGCCGUGUCCAUGGCAUUGGACGAGUUAUGGCUUGGUCACAUAACUAGUACUUGGGGUGGUACAAUUUUUAUGGCGUGUGUUGGAUUUUGGAAAUGUCCAGCAGUUGUGCCAUAGGCUAUGGCGGACGGGGAGUUCGAUAGCAAUAAAAUUUGGAUCCUUUGUGUAGGAUCAACCCCACUUAAUAUUUCUGUUACUAAAGCAAAUGCCUUGCGAAAACUCUUUUGAAAAUGAACCCUUGCAUGUGUUGAAAAUCUAGCUUUAUUGCAAAUGAACCUUAAACACAUCCUUGUUAUACCCUGGCAUACUCUUGCUUGUAUCCCCUCCGUGGAUGGGGUUGGACUUGUUGAGUACUUCUGUACUCACCCUUGUUUCGUUGCUACAGAGGAAGACCCGGACUUCGUCGCCGAGGAUUUUGAGUAGGAGGUCGUGUCCGCACCCAACGCUGCCUGUGGUGUUGGCCUUCGCAAAAUACUGCUGCUGCCGUGUAGUCCCGAGUGCUGUCUUUUGGCAGUCGCUUGGCUCGCUGCUGUUAUUUAUUUGCUUAUUAUCGCGGUGUGGCUUUCACGCCCACUCCCUCGAGAGUUGUACGUUAUUUGAACUAUCUGUUGAAUAAAUGUGUUAUCAGCCUCCUGGCACUGAUAUUUGAAUCACAUUUAGUCUCCGCUGAUGUGGGGACGCUUCAUAUGCAGUCCCAAAGAUUGUGGUGUGCGUCCUUGUGGAAGGGGCAUAGGGCGUUCAACAUAUCGUCAAACUCCUCCUGGAGGAAGGUUGUCUGCCUCGCAGGGUCAACUUUGGCGGUGAGGACCUUAGGGGCCCUCUUCCGAGGUCUGGACAGCUCCAGCCUGGACUGGUGCUUGUGGUCUUGGUGGGUCAGCGGUUUGUAGUCAUCAUUGUGGAGGUGCUUGCCAUCCUGGAAUUGGACGUUCUUGGCCUCAUCUAUGUUGACGUGAAGGUUGACGAUCUGCAUCAUGUGUCCGACCAUCUUGGGAGCAGCCUGGAACAUGGUGCAGAACAUCGAGCGGUUCUUGAGGUUGGUGCGGAAGUACCAAAUGAUGUCACGGUCUUCAAUGCUGGCCAGCCUAUUGCGGUUGUCGAAGAAGUGGUUAACGUACUCACGAAGAGUUUUGUUCUUCUGCUGGCGGGCUUGGCCGAGGUUUUUCGUGUUUCCGGGUCAGGUGUAAGUAGCCUGAUAGUUCUGGGUGAAGGCUCUGGCGAGCUGAACCCAAGUGUCGAUGCAGCCUCGUGGGAGGUUCUCAAGCUAUAGGAGAGGUGCACUUUCCAACACCACCGGGAAGUAGGUGGCCAUCUGGCCAUAGGUGCCAUUCGCAGCCUUGACCAUAGUGCAGGACAUCUUCAGCCAGAUCACCGGGUUGGAACGACCAUCGUACUUCUCGUUGGUGGCUGGCUUGAAGGUGGGUGGCCACUGGAUAGCCCUGAGGCGAGGAGUGAACGCGGCGAACCCGUCGAUGUCCAUGUUGUCAUCUUCCAUGAGGCGGUAUUGUACUGGCGGGGCCCUAGGACGUGCACCGUAGUCAUGCUAGGGUGGAUUGUAGGCAUCGCCUGGGGCGUUGUAGCGACGAUCGUACUUGUCAUGGCGGCGUAGCUCCUCCCAGCGGUUGCGGGCCUCCCGCUCCAUGUUGCAAUGUGACUGGUUGUAGACCCCUAAAGCACCAAAGUCACAGUCGUACUAGGCGUGCUGGCAGAAAUCCGCCUCAUCCCGCUCUUGGCGAUGGUUGUUGAGCUCACCACAGAGGUCGUGGCGGUCGUGGAGGUUGUCAUGGAGGUCGCGGUCAGGUUGCCGACCUGGUCGGCCGCGGCAUUCACCGUCUCAUUAUCCAUCACAGUGGUGGUUAUCUGGUUGGCCAUCAUCGCCGUCGGGGUGGUGGUCAUUGCUUUGGGAUUGGUCCACCUCCUCCUCCUGAAUGGGUACCAGCCGACCUCCCCUGCGGUGGCUGUGAUCGGCUCGGUUGCGACCGGAUCUACUCUAGGUAGAUCAGCUUCGGGAGUGCCGGGUAGAUGUAGAUCUAGAGUGCCAAGAUCAGCUUCUUGAGGGUUCUAGGGCCUAGGCUCUUUCCUCGAUCUGGGCAUUGGCAACACGGAUGUGCGCCCGGAUCCACUGCAAUUGCUUCGAGUCUGGAAGAUUUUCAAGAUCAUGAAAAAUAGCCCCUAGGUUGGCUUGGGGUGUGGCAAAGACAUCAUGACCGGCCUGCUCGAGGUAUCCCUACAGAUUGCGACCACAUAAGGGACGCCUGCGUUGACCUCCAACGUCGUCCUGUCCACCAUUGAUGGUGCCGUUGGGUGUCGGCGGAACGAGCGGUGCGCCGGCCGCUGCGGGGGCGGUGGGCGGCUGACGAACGUGCUCGGCUCAUUCCUGUUGGCGGCACCUGACGCGGUCCCAGUUCCUCUCAUUGCGCUCUUCCUCUUGGGAGGAAGUUUCACCAUCACGAGGAGGUUCGUCGGCGGAGACAGUGAAGACUUCCCGAUCUUGUGAUGUAGAGCUUCCAUCAUCACCCUCAUCGUAAGAGUUUGGGAUUAAGGUGAAGCAAGGGAGCUGGAACUCAACAUAGUCUGGAAACUGGGUGGGUUCGGGUGGGUCGUCAGAUUGGAUCUAGAAAGACUGCAUGAGUUUUUCAAAAAAUACGGCAGCCGAGUUCUUGAUGCCAAAAGGGGCGCGGGAAGAGCCCUACACCGACCUUCCGGGGCGUAGUGCCGCCUUAGAGAGGUUCAUGCACUCAGCUAUGGUGUUGUUGAUGCGAUCGAGCCCUGCGAUUAGAUCGAAGGCUAUGGUUGGGUAGGUUGCCAUGAGGAUGUGUGGGGCCCUCUCUAAGAGAGAGAGUGACGGGUCCAUAGACCCAGGGUCCCCAACGAGACUGCAUUCCCGUGACACUUGGCCCAACGAAGAGCGCAGCAACAACGUACACCUAGGCCGGCCCGGCUACACGUAGCCCGGCCAAGGCCCCGAUCCGGCCACCAACCAAUACUUCCAACAAGGAAGCCUAUUCGGCACCCCGAUCGGAAGGAGCUAGUCAGGACUGGGGCCACAAUCCAACCCCAACUAAGUUCUCCCGACUGGGUCCUCGGUGUGGGCCUAGGGAGCAGGAAUAACGAGGAAGCGCCCAGGUCACCUGGCCGUACGCAGAACCGUACCGCGCCAUGCCCUGCGGAUGCCUUGCGCAGUGCCACCAUAAACCCACUCACUACGACGGAGUGGCCUGACGAGGAGAACAAGGAUCGAGGACGGAGACCAUACCAUACACGACGACAUGGGCCGCGACAAGACUAGGCAGCACCCGCACGCACUCUCUCUUCCUCUCUGACUUGUAAGGUCGUCCCCUUGUACUAUAAAAGGGGACGGGCCCUCCCCGUGUGAAAGGGGCUCACUCCCUCUCAGGCUUCAUCACUUCCACAUACUCUGAUUCCCUCCAACACAUAGCGUACGUCUGAGCUCCUGCCACUCUCUUCCACUAAGACGAGAACAAGGCCAGGACUCAGGCACCCCCUCUCAUCCUCCUCUCAUUUGUACCCCCACUACAAACUUUGAGCACCUAGGCUCAGGAAUAAAGUUGAUAGACUUACCUCGACUGGACAUAGGGCGCGUUGCCUGAACCAGUAUACAUCCUAUGUCAUUGUGUGCUAGGCCAUAUACGAUCUAAUGCACGGUAAAACUACAAAUAUUUACUUGUUGGCCAGAUUUCACACCAACAGAGAGAGAUCACCGACCUGCUGGGCAAGCGGCAUGAUGAUCCUCGGGUGAAGAACUUUCUCUGUUGAACCAGAUCCGACGGAUGUCGAGCUGGCGGUGGAUGCCGAGUCGGCGAAGGAGGCGGUGGAGUCGGAGUCCACCGGCAAGCUCCUGAAGCGGAGCUGGAUCAGAUGGCGACGAAGUCCUUCAUGCUCUCGAGGAAGAUGAUGUCUGGCCGGGAUGACAUCGAGCUCAAUGGGAGGAUCUCACGAUCACUCCUACCUGGUGCACCAAAUGUCAGAUUUACUGACCGGCAGACCACCAGGGGGUUACCCAGGUGGUAGAUUUGUAGGCAGGAGAAAUUGUGAGACCAAGAACUCGAAGGUAAAACAGGGGCGUAGGGUUUAGACAAGUUCAGACCUCCAGAGAGUAAUACUUUAUGUCUUGUAUUCUGGUGGAUUAUAUUGAUGAUCGUAGAUGCGAAGAGUUAACGUGAGGUGGAAUGAGUUGAGUUGCGUUGCAUUACCCUCGAGGGGCCCCUUGCCGCCUUAUAUAGGCUGACAACCUAAGGUUACAAUCAUAUAGGAUCUAAUCCUAGGUUGUUGUUACAUGGAAAGAUAUCUGAGUCGGUUUACAACAAAAAUCCCGUGAUAUCCAGGCUAAAUUGAUUCGCCCAGCCUCCUGGCUUGUGCUCCAUGCAUCUUCAUGCCUUGGCUCUUACGGCAUGGUCGGGCGGGCCCACUUGACAGGGCCAACCAUUAUCCUGGUCGAUGGGGACCUAUGGGUACCCUUAUCCCUCAAGGUCCUUCCACAAGUUGAUGGAGUUCUUGUCCAACGAUUCAAGCCAUGUGAGUGGCACUGCCUCCAUGCAGAUGGGAAAGUAGACAACUUUGGUGUUGACGUUUCCGCCAGCUGAUUGUACUGACAACAAAUAGCACUGGAGCCAUUGGACUGGGCCUUGCUUGCCGUCGUACUUGGUGAUGCCUGAGGGUUUGAACUUUUUGGGUAGAAUUAUCCUCCUCACGCAUCUGGAGAAGGUAGGGAUCCCGUCAGUAUCAUCCCCUAGGUAUUCGACUUCUUGCUCGUGCUCAUGGUGCAGUACUUCAAUGAUGCGGUGUCACGGCUGGCAUUGAUCUUACUAUGAAGGUCUCCUACUGGGCGUUCAGGCUCUAGGGCACCCCCACGGUGGUCACGGCCUCCCGAGGUUCCUGCCCGACUACCUUAAGCUCCAACUUGACUUGGUCUGGCGCCUCCGAGUUGACUUGGUCUGGCACCUCCGACUUGGCUUGGUCUAAGCGGGGGGCUCUAUGGCUACUGCCAUGUUGACUUCGCUGGGAUGUAGAAUGUUGGAUUAACUAUAUCGGGUUCUGCUGAUAGAGUUGUUCGUACGCGAGUUCAGCCAGCUCGGCCAACUAUCGGCUAUAUUUAUUCUGGGGCAUUGCACGGUGAUGAGAUCUAUAGACGCGACGAUAGCUAGAGGAGUAUGAUGGUGACGUGUUUGAAAUGCUUCAAAGGCAUUAUCCAGAUUCUGGAUUGGUAGAUCUGGUGCGAGACGGCAACGGCGUUGUGCUCUUGAGGCGUUUCUUGCUCGUCGUCGAGUUCUUUGAGCUUUAGUUUCUUCUUCGGCAACAUCGACGGUUCGCUCAUCUUGCAAGACGUCAUCUGGGUGAUGUUCGUGGUGUUGGUUCCUAUCCCGUCGCUCUUCUUCUUCAUCUUCUUGUCCAACAAUGAUGGCGAAGAGUUCUAAUUCUAGUGGGAAACCUUCUGAGCUGCAGGUGAUGACUUCUAUGGUGCCUCCCUCUUCGUAGAUGGGAGACAAAGGAGCUCCCUCCUGGUCUGGGAGAAUGUCGAGGUAGGCAAUGAGGCAUGAGUCAUCGUCCUUGGAAAAAGUAGGAGGCUUCAUGUUUGGCCAGUAGAUGAAUCUGCCUUCUAGAGUUGAUGUGAUUACCAGGCCCUGCUGCAGGCCUGAUAAAGGGGUAUCCUCGUCUGGAUCCGAGUAGUAGUUGAGCUCCUUGAUCCCAUCUGUAUCGGAUUGGAAUCUAAACAAGGCUGCCUAAUAGAUAGUGGCCGUGUUGCGAAGUCUGAAUGGGAAUCGACUCUAGGAGUAGUCCAACUCGCAUGAUGGCUUAUGCACCAACUCGUGCGAAUCAAUCUGACUGGCAGGAAAAGUCAAGUUGUACUUGGACUCAUCCCCCCAGCCUCUGACUAGGUCAAAAAUUGAAAAUCCAUUGAAAUUCUCGACAAGAUCCUCCAGAGCUUGGCGUUGGAGCUUCAUGGCUUGUUGCUUCACCUUCGGGGCCGGCGCAAUGUGGCGGUAGAAAUUUCCAGCGCCGUCUGCGGUGCAAACCCAGGAGCUAAACACGAACGCUACACCUACUUCGAACACAACAAUUGGCUUGAUGAUGACUUGUGCCAUCGAGUUUGCUAGUGGAUUCUUGGCGAGAUCCCCUACGUGGCGCGCCAGCAGUCGGUAUUUAGACCCGACAACCUACCAAGGGGGGUGCCCGAGGUAGUGUUUUGGUUGGUGGAGCUUGUCGAGAUUAGAAACUCAAAGGUAAACGUAGACACACGAUUUAGACAGGUUCAGGCCGCUAGAUUGUGUAAUACCCUACAUCCUGUGUGUUGGUUGGAUUGAAUUGCUUUGGCGGGGGUUCCUACCUCAUCUUAUAUAGUCGGGGGUAGGAUUACAUGUCGGUUGGUUACAAGAAUACUAGUUGGAUAUGACUAGAAGAAUUCUACUCUAUUACAAUGAGUACUUUCCUAAUCCUCAACUAGUUCCAGUCUUUCCAUGUAGACUAUGCCGCCAUGCGCCAUGGUCUCCAUGUCAAAUGCAUCCCGGUGUCCAACCCCAUAUCUCGGACUGUCCAAACCUUCUGGUGGGCCCAUAGAUGUAUGUACGACACCAUAGUUAAGAAAAUUAGAGUUUCUCCUAUUAAGCCCAUGAUUGCUUAGUGGUUAGAACAUUUCAAGAUGACUGGUCUUAUUGAGUCCACCUCUUUAAUUACUCGCAUUGCUUCAAAAAUUGGGGCAUUAGAUGGCAUACCUGUUCCGUUUAUUCAAAUGCCCCGCUCUAUCAUUGAUGAAGCAUAUCUUAUUCAAGGUUACACUCUUAAGCAUGAUGAAAACCAGUCUCUUGUAUUCUUCUUCCCCGGCUAUACAAAUGAGAUCACGUUACCUAACCCGAGACUUUAUUUGUAUAAGUGUUGGGAGCUAACCCUUCCUCUUGCACCACAAGAGGAAGCUCACAGGAGUAAUGUCUCUGGCAGGGUAACUCGGAGCAGGUCCAGGAAUGAAGCCACUACCUCACAGUACCAGCCCCCGCAGUCCCAGCAUGUCAUGCAGCAGAUGUACCAGGCAGGAUGGGUUCCAGCUGGGUAGACGCCAGGGUUUGCACCCGGGUACCAGCCAGGUUCAGACCAACCUCCACAGCCGCUUGGAGCUGGAGGCUCGGGCUAACAAAGUGCAAGCAGUGAGGAGUGGGUGCAAGGACCAUACGGACAUCACACUUCUUCCAGCUCCAGUGGUCUGCCCUCAAUGUUCGGUGCACGCCGAUCCUUCUCGACAAGCUGACAUGUGACCUCACGGACCUCAGCUGCCAGAUGAAUGACCUCGACAUUUGGAAAGGUGAAAUCCAAAACACUCUUAACACACAUGUCCAGGGUUUUGCUACAUGGCAGUAGGAGGUCGACACACAGUUCAACGCCAUCAACACCUCGCUACAACAAAGCCGCGACGACCUACAGGCCUACUUCCACUCCCAGGGGUACAACCCCCAUCCAGACCAGUGAGCAAGGAACAAGCUUGGGGGAGGAAACUCCCAAGAGAGGUAUCUUGUAUCUUGUAUCUUUUCAUUUCUUAUCUCUGCAUAUUAAAAAAAAGCUACAUAUGACAAAAAGAACAAAAAAUAUUUAUUUGCUUUCACAUGUGUAGUAAGAAUGUUUUAGUUCUUCCUUGUUGAGAUGAUGAAUAGUUGCUCUGCCCUAUUUCCUUCAUGUGCCUAGUUUACAACUUAGUAUUCUCCCAAGUUUUGAGUUAGUUGGCUGUCGUUCAUCCUAGAAACUUGAAUCUUGUGGGUUGCAAGUGCAUGAUCUAAGUCUAAGUUGUUGCAUAAUAUGAGAUGGUACAAUAGAGUUUGCUAUGAUCUUGUUCCAAGUGAAACUUAACAUCUGGAGUUUUAUUUUCAAAAUCAUAAAAAUAAUAAAGUUGCUCAAUGAUGAUGAUAUGUCCUACCAAAGCCAUAUGAUAUUACUUUGCACAACCUGUACACAUAUGCUGCUUGAUAUCACAUUGAGCAUUAUCAAAUUGUUGUGACCCUUAAGAGGUCCUCGUCAUGCUUUCAUGAUCAAGAUCACGUACACUCAACAUAUACUCAUGCUGACUUCCACACUAGAAGUUGCGCAAAAACAUGCCUUUCAUCCACAUAAAUAUACUCCAUCCCUAUGACAUGACCCCCCCUCUGUUCAUCAUGCAAAAAGAUAUGGUCUAUGCAAAAAGAAGAAAAAGAGAAAAGAAAUAAAAUCCAUGCUCAAAUAGCAUAAGGGAAAAAAAGAGAGAGGAGGAAAAGAAAAGAAGGAAAAAGAAAGAAGGAUAGCCCAUAUCCCAAAAAGAAAUAAAAAAAGCGAGUCAUGCAAAAAGAAGUUCGAAUAAAAUUCCACCAAAAAUUCCACACACAUGCACUUCUUGAUCAGAUUGUAUGACUUGCACCUCCUCAGAUUCGCCCUUUGACUUUGCAAAAUUAUGUGAUGCAAAUAUGCCUCGUUUUACAUCCUACCUAAAACCCAACAAAAAAUCCUAUUAGAAGUAGGAUGAAAAGAGGCAAUUCAUGCCUUGGUGAGGACUAUACACAUUGAGCGAUCAAGAGCAUCAUAUGAGAAACUUGUUUUCAUUUCAAAAACCUUCGGAAAUAUAGUUGAACAAGAAGUAAGUGAAUGGUGACUUUAUAUAACCAUUCUAUUUUGCAACCGCCAAAGACAAGGAAAAAGCCAAAAGCCCCAUGGGACUAAGGUAAAAAAGGGGGACAAUGCUAACUUAUUCAAUUCAAGGAAGAAUCCUUUGUUGUACACAUCAUAUAUGGAAGAAAGAAGGUAUUGUAGCAACUCCUAAGCAACAACCUAAGUCUUAGUUUUUGCUCGGGAUGAGAAAAGGGCAAGCUUGGGGGAGUUUGUUGACGGUCCUUAUGUUAGAAAUCCGACCAUCAUACUACUCAAAGAAUAAAGGAAAACUAACAUUCCUUACUCAUAUAUUUGUUAUCAAUAACCUAGCUCCACAUGUAUUGGCAAAUAAGUUAUUUCAGGGAUACAAGUCUGUACAAGAGAGGAAACAUGCACAAAUGUGGACAAAAAACACAGAAGAACACAUGGCGGUUAAGAAGGCCCACAUGCCAAAGAAAAUCAGUCCAAUCCCACGUGGAUCAACAAGGGAAAUAACUAAGGCCCACCAGGUAGCCCACCACACAAAGGCGGUGGUGAGGCAGCCCAGCCCAGGGUCAGCCGAACCCCAGGUUUGGCUGAACCUAGACAGGCACCCCUCGCCCUCAUCCUCCACGUGGUGAGCCCUGGUUGACUCCCAAAGGCGGUGGAGGAAGAUUCCCCAAAGAUGCCUCCCGGGAACAGCCUCUACACACCUAUAAAGAGAGGAGGAGGAGCCCCUCUCACACAUACCACACUUGAAGCCUCUCUCCCUCUCUCUCUCUCUCUCUUGCUACUCUUGUAAUCCUUAGGCUAGUGGAGUUAGGCUAGAGCUAAAUUCUUGUAGUGCUAAGCUAUUCUUUGGGUCGGUUGGGGACGUAACCUCCGGCUCUCGAUAUGGCUUUGUACUCGACUUGUCGGUAUCCUAUCUAUAAAGAGUAUGGUUGCUAUGCUAUUUUGGUAGUAUAUUAUGCCAUGUCUUGUGCUUUUCUAAGUUAUACUCAUAUACUUAGGCUAAAUCUAUGUUACCGCAUCGGUUUGUUGUUCCUUCGGGCUUGCUCUAGUUCUAUGCCUGUCAAUCAUCAUGGUCAAGGUUCCGGAGGGGCUAGAAUAGUGAUCAUGUAUAAGAGCGUGGUGCUCGGGCAUGUUGGGAUCCAUCAAAUAUGACUGUGCCCCAUGGUCUGAGGGGUAGGCGGUAGGUGGUGAUAGCCCUGUCCAUCCCUUGUAGUCCCCCACGUUCAAGUAUGGCGUACGAGUUCUGAAAGAUAUCUUGCCUUGGCAGACCAGGACCGGGUAUUCUCCCCAUAAUGUUGUAUGCCUAGAGUUAGCUCUGAUUAUAUGCUUGUAUGACCCUUGCUAGUAUAGAUAGUUGCCACUAGGACCUCUUGUAUGCCUUGCUCCCCUUAAUCCUUAGGCUUAUUCUUUUAUUCUUUAUUCUUGAGAUUGGUUUGUGUGUGUCACAUUACCCUCAUAUAUUUAUCAUAGCUUACCCUUGUAUGAACUUUGGUCUAUUAUUUGGAUCCUGGAUAUGUAUCCAAUAAAUCUUUUUACACCAAUGCCAUCCUUUGGGAAAAUAUAAAUAACGAUACCCUGAAUACUCUCCGGGUGAAAUGCUACAAUGACAUAUCCGAGUACUUGCGGAUUUAUUUGUAAUGUUAAGAAAUACCAACAGAGAUGCCAACCAUGCAUGCGGUGCAGAGAGGAGCGAGGCCGCGUGGAGAAUAAAAAGGAGUAUGUGGAGAUAGGGCUAGCCGGCUGGGUACCGAUUCAUUUCAGGGGAAGAUAAUGGAUAUUUUGGUUCGGUCGUGUGUAAAAGUUGGGGUGGAAACUCUAAAUGUAUCUUUGGGAUAAAUUUUGAAUCCUUAAUGUAGCUAUACUCUGAGAGGGGGUACUAUGCUGAUCCCUCAAGAACUCUGUUAUUGCCAGCUUGGUGUUAAAUUCAGCGAAAAAAAAAAGGUUGUCUCCCACCAUUCCUACCUCCAAUUCCCUUGGGUGUCCCAGGCUGAAAGCAUAGGAAAACAUUAAUGUUUGUAAAUAUAAGGAACUUUCUCAAUCACCAAAUGCUUCAGCACAGGAAAUUCUGGGUCUUCGGUAUCGACUAAAACCGAUGUUUCAUUCUCCUUUCCAGUCAGAUCUCUAUAUACUAUAUAAAAACCAAAGGGGACAUAAAAAAGCGGUCCGUUGUUAGGCCGGGUGCUCGAUGUCCCUCGCUUCGGUGUUUUUCGUCCGUCGGUUCGGCGUCGUCCGCUUGGAAGCCGUUGAAUCGGCACUUCCGUGAAUUGCAGUGCGCGGCCUUUCUCCUCCAUCCAUUUCCCUCCGCGCGGAACACUCUGGGUCCUUGGGUCCUUCUCCCUGCGUGCCAUCCGCCGCCGCCACUCCUUACGUCGUGCCGCCAGCCGCCGGCGCCGUCACUCCCUUCGUCGCCAUCCGCCACCGCCCCUUCCUUCCUCGCCGCCGCCCCUCUUCCGUCGGCCCCGUGGCGAACACCGGUGCCGGCCCUGGAGCCACCUCGUACUCCCAAAGGCCCUGAGGCCCAGGUUCUUCCCUCUCCCUCAGAUCUGUAUGUGUGCAUGUAGAUUUUCUUGAUAAAGGGAUGGAAAAUGGAUUGGUUACAUUGAUCUUGAUGUGUUCAUGCUGAUUUGUCGAAAUUCGAAUUGAAAAAUGGAUUGAUAUGUGCAAUCUGGAUGUGUACGAAUCUGAAAAAUGGAUUGAUAUGUGCAAUCUGGCCAAUAACCAUGUAUGAUUUCACUCAGGAACCUUUCUGACAUGAAAAUUUAUCAAAUCAGUAUGUCCUGCUUUGAUUUGAUGCGCCUGUUGUGCAAGAACAGGAGGAGCGAUCAAUUGAGGACUCGUCGAUUACGGAUACACUGAAGGGUGCCGGUGAUGCCAGCACCAACGCCCAUCAUGUACGCAUUCUCCUCUGAGAUCUGCUUCUCUAGCUAUAUUCUUCUUCUUUGCUACUUGGUGGAUCUGGAUACAUGAUAUAUCAUAUAUCUUAAUGUUUUUUUGUCUCGAUUGAUUCAAUUCAGAUUGGAGAAGACUCCAAACCACAUGCGAAAAUGGAAUGUUAAGUGGUUCUGCAUUAUGAGCAUGAUGAAUUAUCUGUUUCUUUAUUGAAGCUAUACAUUUAUCUGCAAUGCAUGCUGUAAGCAUUGUUUAACUCUGACCAGUUUUAGUUAUCGUAUUAUUUUCAGGGUCAUCUGAUUUUAUUUUUGGGUGGAAAAUAACAAACUGAGAUGAGACAAACUAUGUGUGCCCUGCAUAGAUCUCCCAAGUUCAUAUAUGUGGGCCUGCAUUUUUGCCUAUAGCUAUCAGAUAAUGGAGUCAGGUUGAAAGUUGUAGGUUUUGAUUGCAAUUUGAAGAGGCAUGUCUAGAACAGGAUGUCUCUUUGUAUUGGCUAGGAAAAUUAAAUUUCCAAAUCCCAAUGUUGAUGUAUGUUCUACUGAUUUAUCCUAUAAGGUCUCCUGAUUUUGCAUUCUUGUGCUGACAGGUGCUUAAUCUUUUGCCCUUGCAGUCUAGCUUGUGUCGAUAUCUUGCAGAUGCAUUCAAGGAAAAUGUACUUGAUGCAUAGUAUUGAUCAGAAAAGGAUAAAAAAAAGAUGGACGGUGCCUCAAGGGCUGCACUGGAGUUUUUUUAAUAGGUUGAUCUCCUUCCUAGAGACACUGAUUUGAACUACAUCUGCUACUGUAUUAUCGAGUUAGUUGUCAAGUAGAAGCUUAAGUACGAAUUCCAGUGAAAACUGUACAUCGUCAAAAUGGCUUAGUCACAUGUUCAAAGGAACUGUAGUUUCAUCAAUGGAGAUCUCAUUUGGCAUGUACACUAAAUCCUGAUUGCCAAUAGGAUCUAUGUUCACCAUUUACAAGCAGUUUUUCACUAGCAAUAUUGGUAGACUGUUACCUUCAUGCAUAUGAUUCCCCUAUUUUUUCUGUCAGAACUGCCAGGGGAAGCAGGUUGCCAGAUCGGUAGUAAAAGUUGGGUGCAUCAUGUUGUCAGAUUCAGGUUCUUUGUUUGUGGCCAGAAAAUAUUCAGAACUUGAGCAGCACAGCAUCAUGUCUGAAUUUAUUUUCUUUGACAGUGGUUCAAAUUGAGGUAUUUUAUUCAUAUCUGCAACAUACAUAGCAUCUGAGCAAACUUGAUUAAGGUGGUUCAAAUUGAGCGGCAUACGUAGCUUCUGCAUAUUAGUUUGAAUUUCUUGAAGGUUAUGUGAUGAGGACUCUUUGCGGUACUUUUCAGGCACCUUAUUUUCUUUGAUGCUCCUUUAUUGGGGAGGAGGCGCCUCUUGAAGCAGGGACUAAUCCUGAUAUGCUUUUGUAAAUCAUAGAAUGCUCAACACCUGAGACAUAUUUGCAGUUUUCUAUUUGUUUAUUCUUAUGUGAAGGUAACAUUGCCCGGGUAAGUUCAGGGUUAUUAAAUGGUUACAAAAAUUCCAUUUUUAUUUGAUGUGCCAAAUUCAGUAAUUAUCGAUCAUAUUGGGGAAAUGUGUCUUUCUGGAACCAAUGAAGUGAAUUGCAUGUCAAAUUUCAAUAAAAACAACAUGAGCGACUUAAAGAAACUUCAGUUGUAGCAUACAUUCGUAUGAUUCUUGACUUACGAUAUGGAGAUCAUUAUUCAUUCAUGAUCGUUGGAUGCUAGAUCUGGGAGAAGAUUACUUGACCUUUGCUCGAUUUGUGGAAAGAUUUGACUGAAUAUUUGGGAUAAGUUUUUUAUUGCUUGAUAUCAUUGUUGACAAGGGAAAGCAUUUGGGCAAGCUUCCAUUUACCAGCUGCAGGGUGAGGAGGCAAUUGGUUUGGUUCAGUCUUACUGGUCUCAGUUGCGUGCUUCCUGUACAUAAAAACUGUUUAACCCCUGCAGAGAACAUGGUGGAACAAUGUGCUGAUUGAGCGGGCUUGCUGUAUGGUGUGGUUAUGUUAGAGUUGUUUGUGCACCGCAUUCUAAUCCUUUAUGGUUUGUGUGCAGAUGAAGAGAGUUUUGGAGAAGACUGGCUGUUGAUUUGUAGCAGACCAAGUUGAACAAUCCUAUUCAUCUGCUCAGGAAAGUGGUCUGAUAUCCGAAGUCAAAAUUACAUUGAAGACGCCAUCCAUGCAUCUCUGAUCUAUCAAAGAAUCAUGGAUACAAGUUGGAGGAUGAUGCGUUCAUUAGAAACAAAAUCUCGCUAAUUGAUAAAGUAAUUGCCUUCUACGAGGUAAUUGAAUCUUCAAUGUUACCCGUCAAGCAGCUAGGAAAGUUUUUACUGGGUCUAUGCAGCUUCUGUCAAGUUUCAGUUCAUUGAACUGUUUUUGUUACAGAAAGUGAAUCUAAUCACCGAUUCUUUUGAUUUGCCAAUAACCUUACAAUUUCACUCAGCAACCUGCCUACCUCUGCCAGAAGUUGAUUGCAAUUUGCAAAAAGUAUGUUUUCAUGCCUUGUGAUAUGAGUAUUCAAUAGUCACGAUUGGCAGAAAAGUGAAACUUCUUGACGAGUGGUUUGACAUUUCUUGUUAUCACAUUGGUAAUUGUACUAAAUUAUAAUGUUUUCAUUCGGUGCUAAUUGCUAAAGCAAGUUAAAUUAUAUAUGAACUCAAUUUGAUUUUGAAUGGUUCUCCGCAUACGUUAAAAUUUCUAUAUUGCUAUUUUGAUGCUUGUGAAGGGAAAUUGUGUUGCCCGUAGCAAUGCAUGGGCACGAUCCUAGUUAAGCUUAAAAAAUAAAUUGAACGCCUACUCCUCCAAUCCAUAGGAUUUCUCCUUGCCAGUUGUUUCCUUCCCCCUAUUAGCUCUAGGAGUAGAGAUGGAAACUUAUUUUUUGAGCUGAAACUAUGAGGGAAAGCGUCCCGUUAAUUGAAUUAAAUAAAUAAAAGGGAAUGUUAUUUACAAGAGCAACUACACUAGAGAUGGAACCUUCUCCUACUUCCAAGCUCCAAGACUGUAAUCUAAAGUCUUCUUCCCCUGUAUCCUCGUCAUCAGGGCCGGCCUGAGGGGGGCAGGGUGGGCGGCUGCCCCAGGCCCCCAAAUCUCAGGGCCCCACCCCAGGUGUCAGGUAUGCUUAUUGCCUAAAUCGCGAUUAGAUCCAAUCAUAACUCCGCACCCGACCAGUCGACGACGAUGCCUAGGGCCACCGCCACCUCGUGCACUCGUGCGCUGCCGCUGCGCGUCGACGACGGUCGACGGAGUUCCUGUUCAAGUGACGACUGUGCCGGCAGCCCGACAUCAUCCAGGUACGCGUACGCUACUCGUAUAUACGCGCGCGUGCACAACGCCAGAACCCCGGCGGCCCGGCGAUUGCUGAUUCGCUGUAACGUUGUUCCUGCAUGCAGUUGCAAAUUUGCGAUCGUUGUUCCUGCUUCCUGAACGAGCGCACGGCUUGUUGGCUUGUUGAUACAUUGAGACUUGAGAACCCCCGCACGCCGCCGGUUCUCGGCUUGUUGGCCUGUUGCUUGUGGACCAUGCGGUUGGCGCCAAUUCACUUUUGUGAUCAGGUGAGUCGCUUGCCAAUUCCCCAAUCUCUAUACCAUUAAUUAUUAAUUCACUAUCACAAGUUAUUUAAUCUCAACUGAUUUAUAACUAUUGUGUAUUUAUAAUAAUUUCAGCACUGUGGGAUAUCAUGUCGUCUAGAAAAUAUGAAUCAGGUAACGCGAAAAGGAAAAGAAAAAGAUGUGUGGAUGAGUUGAUAGAAUCACAGAGAAGAGCUAUGGAUAAAUUUUGCAAGAGUAAUCAAGGCCUGAGAGUAAUACGGGCGCUUUGACGAACCCAGAUGAGUUGGCAAUAGUUGUUGUGGAUGAACCAACUAAUGGGAAUCAGGAAGAAAAUGUUAACAUCAACGUCGAUGAUAACAAUGUAAGUGACUCUAAGAACACAGUCAAGGCACUUUUUUAUUGAGCUCAAGCACUUUGAAGUCAUUAAAUGAUAAUGAACUUGAAGAAUGUUGCACUAAAUUUGUAGAAACUUUUUCUUUUGAUGGUUCAUCUGAUGUUGAGGUAUAUGAUCUUAUUUCUGAAUUAAAGAUUAUGAAAUUCACUUUGCCAGAUGGGUGUAAUGUCUGCUAUGGAGAUUUUCGAGCAUGUUAGAGAUGUGGAUUGUUAUCUUAAUGUCUCCAUUGCUUACUAACUUUUAUUUACUAUGCCUGUGACUGUCACAUCGGCUGAAAGAAGCUUUUCAAAGUUGAAGUUAUUGAGGAACUAUUUGAGGUCAACAAUGACUCGGGAGAGGUUAAAUGGUUUGGCAACAUUAUGCAUCGAGAAAAAAUUGUUAGAUGAGAUUGACAUCAACCCUAUCAUAAGUGACUUUACAUCGAGGAAUGUUAGAAGAAACUUUUAAGGUAAUAUGUAUAAAUAAUUUGAUAUGAAGAUUUUAGUUUAUAUUGGUAAUAUUUCAUAUAUAUUUAUUAUAAUGUUUAUAUUAUAAUGUUUAUAUUAAGAGCUCCGAGUUUUACUUUCACCCGAACCUCGCAAAUCUCAGGAUCGGCCCUAGACCGGCCCUGCUCGUCAUCAACCACCUGCUGACCAGCAAGGCUUUGAGCUCUGAACAAGGAUGCGCAUUGAUGGGAUCAUCCAUGUUCGUCCUGAGCCAGUGGAGACAGUUGGUGAAGAGGAGGACAAAACGAACGUUAGAAAUAAUUCCUCUAUUGUUGACUUGGGAACGUCGAGAAGCCACCAUACAUGAAUUUACAUUAUCAACCAUUCAGUUCUCUUGUUGCUAGACGGCGUAGACGCUUUUAUGAUUGCCUCUAGUGCAACUUUAUGUUUAUGUGAAUGCAUUAACCAUCAAAUGCAAAUAGAUGAUUAUUGAUAUUUCUAGGAUAAACAGAGGAUACAUGCUAGAUGGGUAUGGUUGCAGAACGAUUCGAUUUUCCCAUCCGUUUUCAUAAGGUUUGAAAGUGAGAGGAGUGGGCCCACUCACCAGACAUCGACGAGCACAAGUGCCUUAACAUUGCAAAAUAGGUAUGGACGCAAACGUUGUUAACGGCGCACACCUACCACUGAAACAAUAACACAAUUAAAAUAAAAAAUAUGAGUACUCAUGCCAAGCUGUGGACUUGAUGAACAUAAAUAGGUAGAUUCCGCCACAAGAAAUAUAAUGAAAUAAUGAACAAUCAGUUAGCUGUUAAUCGCAUUGUAUUUGUCUCCGACUUUCUUCUCCUUUUACUUUUUUUUUUUGCAGAAACAAUGACUAUGGCUAACUUCGCUUCAAAAAAAAAUGACUGGCUAACUGUGAAUGACGAUCUAUCUGCCUCCAUGAUUAUGAACUCGGCUCUACUUGCUCAUGGCAGUUUCCCAUCAUGGCAUUAUUCUGUCUGUUCAAUGCUGUCUCAUGCGCUAUCCAGUCCUCGUACUACUACAGCCCACAUCGUGAUCUAAUCAAUGUUAAAUGCACUUUAUGCGAGCCAAUUGUGGAUGAGGCAAUCAAGCCCAUGUUUGCAACACAAAAAUGAAUCUUGAUAAGUUGGCAGGACAGGAAGCAAUUCGAUUCCAUGUGAACCGUGCCAAGUCUGAAACUCGUAAAACUGUUGCAAACAAUGGUUGGAAUAUCGUGCAGUUAAAUUCAAAUUCGGAGGUGUGAAGCUAGGAUCUUAAGUUGUGCAAAACAUGGCGUAAUUAUUGGAUCCUUUUGUAGCGAAGGAAACCAAACCGGCCACUGCAGUUUAGCCCUUGUUUAGUUGCCCAAGUUGGGACCUCCCAACUUGGGAGUUACUGUUUGGCCGGAAUUUGGCCCUUUGUACAGAAUUCUGGAGCUCCCAAUUUCAGAAACUUUGGAGUUCACUGUUUGAGCAUUUAAACCUAGGACAUCUCUGCAUGGCCCAUGCAUGCACACAUGCAAAAAACGCAUGAACAGCUCAGGGGACAACACAAUCGCAUUUUCAACAGCAACCCUUCAACUAAAAUAUCUCAAGUACAUCAACAAAUUAUGACAGUAACAACACCGUUCCAAAUUAUUACAGUCACAACACCGUACAGUCACAACACCGAAAACUGUAACAGGGAAUCACAAAGUACAUCAACAAUGACAUGUCCUCAAUCACAAAUUAUUCAAGAAUGAGCAAACAAAUGUUGAGCAAGCAUGUCUCGGAAUGCAUUCAUGCUUGCCAUGUCCGCGCUCUCUGGCGCAGGAACUGUAUCUGGCUGAUCCUGAGUGCCUUCAACAGGCACAUAAUUUAUGUUGUUGUCCACUAUACCAAAGUGACUAUCAAAGUCACCAUUAAUCCUAAUGAAGUUGUGCAACGCCAUGCAUGCACAUAUUAUCAGUGUCUGUGUUUUAGGUGGAUAGGCCGGGAUGUCCAACAAUAUGCGCCACUUCAUUUUCAACACUCCAAACGCCCUUUCAAUCACAUUUCUAAGAGAUGAAUGUGCGAAGUUGAAUAUCUCCUUCAUACCUUGUGGUUCGGGCGCGUUUUGGAAGUCUUGGAUGUGAUACUUGGCCUGCCGGUAAGGAGCCAGGAAGCCGGUUCGGUUUGCAUACCCCGAGUCCACCAAGUAGUAUUUCUCUAUAUGAACAGUAUAUACCUGUAAGUUUACGAUAGUGCAAUUAGAAAAUAGUAAUGAGUGGGAAACAGGGUUGUGUACCUCUAGGUGGCUUUGGGAAGUGGUCUCUGUAAGUUGUCAUUGCAUCGUCAAACACCCUCAUGUCAUGAACCGAACCCGGCCACCCAGCAAGGACAAAAGUAAAGACCAUAUCAAAGUCACAGGCAGCCAUGACAUUCUGGGUUGUCUUGCCCUUCCUACACAUGUGCUGCAUAAACUUUCCACUAGGCACAACAACAGGAAUGUGAGUGCCAUCUAUUGUUCCUAUGCAACCCUUGAAUUCAGGGUAGAACCGAUUGUUUUGCAGCCUAGGAUGCAGUGAUCUAAAGUCUGGGUCACGAGGUUUAAUUAUGUCGGCAGAAAGUCUACCAGACAAUUGAGGACUUUGUAAAAUAGUCUAUGAACAGUGGCUAGUGAUCUCUCGAAUCUGUCCUCUGCUUGCCUAACUGAUUGUGGUGCCCCACAUAUCCAAAGGAACAAUCCUAGAGCCUCAAUAGUGCUGGUUUUGUUAGAUGUUCUAAGACCAUACUGAGAUGUCAACAAAUCAUGCAGCCUAUGAAACAUGUGUGGGGUCAUCCUAAACAUGUUGUAGCAGGCUGAUUCAUUGUCAAGCUUGUUCAGUACCCAUUGCUCCCCAGUCAAGGCUGGAUUCCUAUACGGCCGCCUAUUGCAAUACUUGUCCACAUGAAUAGCAUAGGCAUACAUACCGAAGAUAAAAGGUGCUUCAUCGUCUUCACACGCCAAGGACCACCAGUCCUCCCACCAGGUGUUGAAAAGGUCCAGCACUUCUUCGACUUCAUCUUCUGUACAUUCAUCUUCUAAGGCUUCAUCUAGUAAGGCUUCAUCUUUUGCGGCUUCAUCUUCUGCAGCAGCAUCUUCUGCAGCAUCAUCUUCGAAGGCUUCAUCUUCUGAGGCUUCAUCUUCUGCAGCUUCACCUUCUGAGCCAUCAUCUUCUGUAGCAUCAGAAGGUUCAACAUCCUGGGCAUUGGAAACAAGACAGGCACAGUCAGUUCAAUUCAGUUUGUAGCAACAUUACUAAAGCCUGCUACCUCCAUUCAAACACUCAUUCAUCUCACACAGAGGCAAUCAAUUUCAGAAAUAAUAAUCAACAUUACUAAAGGGAGAACCAUGCUUGUAAUUAAACAUGUCCUGACAUAGUUCGUCAUAGUUCAUCAUCACAGCUUAAAUAAUGACCACCACAACUGAAAUGACCUACACGCCAUGACCAUCACACACAAAAGACAGGCCAUCAUCCCAACAGUACUAAAGGGACAAUAACUAAACAAUGCAUGGAUGUUAGGGUCUGGUAUUAGACCGUAGCAGCAUAUUGCUUGAUCAUGGAGAGCCUUGCUUCAACAGGUGUGCACAGGAAGAUGUUGCAUAGAUCCUCAUGCAUGCAGAUCUUGACCACACCAUUCCAUAGAUGUCCAUCCAUGAGGUGCACUCCAAGCUCUUUCGCUGCAUCUGUAACUUGUUUCUGUUCUUCUUUCCUAGCACGCCUUUCUUCUUUCUGUUCUUCUUUCCUAGCAUCCCUUUCAUGAAGCUGCUGUGCCAUCCUAGCCUCCCUUGCUUGUUCCUGUUGUGCCAUCCUAGCCUCCCUUUCUUGUUGCAGCUGGGCCAUCCUAGCCUCCCUUUCUUGUUGCAGCUGGGCCAUCCUAGCCUCCCUUUCUUGUUUCCUCUUCUCCAGUUCCUCUUCAAUGCCCUUAUUCUUAUCCAAUAUCGCCCUUUCCAAUACAGAUGUCCUUGUAUCAUAAGACAACUUGAAAUUUGUCAAUUGGUUGUUCAUGUUGCGAGGUGUGCUGCCCUUGUUCUUCUUGGUGGGGCUUGUAGCUGUGCUGCGGAAGCUACUGGUGCUCCUCUUGCUCCCAGUGCUGACUAGGGUCGCACAGCUCAGAGGGGUGCCACAGUCAGCUUCAGCGUCAUCUUCCUCGCCGCUAGAGAUGAAGCUAAUCUGCCGGCUGACCCCUGGAACAAAGGAGGUCUCUCCAGUCACUACAACCCCACUGAACAUCCGGUCCAUCUGGUCAAUGUAUUCUGGCCAUCCGUCCUUCAACUCAUACCAGUUGGCGUGCCCCUGCAAUGCAAAUACAACCCACACAGAAACUUCAGAAGGUAGUAGACAUUUGUUGUAAUUACACAAUGAGGUCUUGACAGAUUAGUUACCCUUGUCUUGUCCUCCCACCACUUGUCAGAAGCAACAACAGAGCCAUCUUCUCUGUGCCCCAAGCCUGUGCACUUGGUGCGAAGAUGGUCGAUGAACUGCCACAUCGACUUCAACUGCCUGUACUUGUAACCAAACUGCUCGUUGUUUCUUAACUUCCCAGUGGCCUCUAGGAACUUAUCCCGAACAUCUAUCCAGCCCCACUUGCUCAUGUUCCCGUUCUUGCAGUUACCCAAGUCAAUCUGCUGGCAGUAAAGCUCACAAAACAACUGAGUGUCCUCUUUGGUCCACUUGGCCCUGGUUGGCUCAGUCUGUGCACAAUGUAAUUGAAACAGCAAUGCAUGAAACAGCAAUGCAAUCUAUGCACAAUGUAAUUAAAACAGGAAUGCAUGAACUCCUAUUGACAGUAACCAUGACUAUCCUACACACAUGACUAUCCUACACAUUUCAUGCACACCAGUUGACCAGAUCAUGGAAGGAAAGAGGGGGACAGGCAGCAAGUACCGAAGUGUUGUCGGCGUCAACUGCUUCAGCCGCGCCUCGACGCCGGGAACCGCGGACCGUGGCUGGAGGUCGCUGUUGCCGACGCCCGGGAGCCGCGGCCUGAGCACCGCUGCCGGAAGCCUCUCGGCGGGGACGGGUGGCCCGGCUGCUGCCGCCUGCUGCGCCUUGGUGGCCGGAGCGAAGGAUGCCUUCGUAGUCGUCCAUGUGCGCCCACCCGGAGGAUGCGUUGAGGUUCAGGCCCGACAUGCCCAGGUGGGUUGGGGUGGGCACGGUGGACGACGACAUGUGAUGCGGCCCGGAGGAGUAGGGGUUGUAGGAUCCGGUCCCUGCGCCCGGCGGCGCCAGGGAGAAGAAGGUCCUUGUGCGGUGGCCGGCAUCGUGGUCGGGGACGCUGCCGAAGUCCACCCCCGAAGAAUCGUUGUAUCCCCCGCCGUUGAAGGCGGCGGGGUUGCCAGAUCCGCCGGCGGAGAAGGCCGCGGGGUUCCCGGAUCUGCCGGCGAUGAAGCCCGCGGGGACUCUGGAUCCGCCCGCGGUGAAGCCCGCGGGCGGGCCGGAUCCGCCGGAGAGGAAGGCCGCGGGGACUCUGGAUCCGCCGGCGUUGAAGGCCCCGGGGUACCCGGACUCGCCCGGGACGAACUCCGAGCCGUUCCCGUCGCCGUUGAAGUCGUCCAUCGUCGCGGAUGGGGUCAAGAACGGUGGAUCCGGGACAGGUCGCGGUGGAUCCGACGGAGAACGUCCUGGAUCUGGUGCUGCAGUGCUCGAUUCGAGCGCAGGCGGCAAGGUGAGCGGCGGGGGAGAGGGAGAGCGGCGGGGGAGGGGGAGAGCGCCGCGGGGGAGGGGGAGAGCGGCGGGGUCAGGGCGAGCGGCGGGGGAGAGGGAGAGCGGCGGGGGACCGGAAAGCGGCGCAGGGGGAGAGGGAGAGGGACUGGGGGCGGUGCUAGGGUUCUGCGCGCGGCCGGUGGUAAGGUGUCGAAGUUUGGGCCAAAAUCGGGACAUCCCAGAGGCCGAAUUUGGACCCAACUUUGGCAGCCCGUUUACUUGAAAACUCCCAAAAGGUAGUCCAAUUACUGUACAAAGGCCAAUUCGGGCCUCAAGUAAACCCAAUUCGGGCCUCAAGUAAACAAGUAAACCCAAUUCGGGCCUCAAGUAAACAAGGGCUAGGGUUCUGCGCGCGGCCAGUGGUAAGGUGUCGAAGUUUGGACCGAAAUCGGGACAUCCAGAGGCCGAAUUUGAACCCAACUUUGGCAGCCCGUUUACUUGAAAACUCCCAAAAGGUAGCCCAAUUACUGUACAAAGGCCUCAAGUAAACAAGGGCUUACUAUGUGAAUGAACAUUUCUGCAGUUUACUAUGUGGAAGCAAACGGGGCCUAAUUGUCAACCUAGCAUGGGUGGAGCCAAUCAAGCGCACAUGACAACCUCACAUGAAACACAACAGAAACAAGGAUAAACUGCCCGUUACCUACAUAACACCAUUAAUCCAUCAAUGUUCCGAGUUCACACCAAUAUCCAGACCAGGACCAAUUACUUAAACAUGCUGAAAUUUAACGACCAUCAGAGCAUUUCAGCGAAUACUACUACACUGACUAACAAAAGCAACAACACUACUACGAUGCCAUCAGUCCCCAUAGAUUAUUCUCGUCCCUGACAACGAGUUAAGCGACGACCAUCACCACCAUCCACCACCGCCGACUAAGGCCUUGAGGAGCGCAUCCGUCGGGCGGCGACGACCACGGCGGUCGGGGGGCUUCUAGCCACACUUCUUGGCGGAGGUGGAGGAGGCGAAGGCCCAGGUGACGCCGAAGGGGUCGACGAGGGUGGCGCCCAGCCCGCAGCCGUCCUCGGUUACCUCCCCCUGCAGCGCCGCACCGGCGGUCGCCGCCUGCGCCGCGGCAGCGUUCACGUCGUCGGUCUCCAGGCGCAGAACCAGCCCACUAGCGGCGGCGCCUUCCUUGCCCCUGCAACAAACAACAAGCACCAAAAGUGUGAGACUUUGAGCAGGGAACAGAGUUUUAAUGUCCAUUUAUUUGCUCGGUGUUAAGUAAAUAGCAAAACCUCGUACUCCAGAAUACUAGUACUAUGUAACCGAGCAAUAACUGUUUCACAUUUUUCUCCAAAUGAAAUAUAAAAUAAAAGUAUUAAACACAGAUUUCUUUGGAGAGAUGCCACUGCAAUGAGUAGAUCUAUUUUUAUUUUUUUUGAAAAGGUGAGUAGAUCUAUUCUUCUCUAAAAAAUUAUGGCAAUAUCUGAGUUCAAAAACAGUAGCAAACUCAUUUCCUGUGUGCCUUCGCAGUUUCCAAAGUAGACAAAGUACAGAUGAACUGCACGAGGCCAAAAGAGCACCAAAAAGAGUGCAGACAAACAAAGUAGGACAAGGGAGAAAACAAAAAACAAAACAGGGUUCUAUUUCCAUGAUGUUCCACUUCCACACCUUCAGAUCUACAUUAAUAAAUGCUAACAGAAUCACAUGUGGAUGUUGACGUACCGAAAAGAUCUAUGUAAGCGGCCCCAAAAAAACCCCAAGAAACCAGUGCAGAGCAGCAGUGAAGCUGAAGAAUGGUAGUUCCAAGCUAAAACUAACUGGAUCUAAAAUUCCUGACAAGUGCCAAACUGAUUCUCACAAUACUAAAGCAGAUGUUCACAGAUCUACGAACUUCAACGCAAAAUAUGUGACAAGAAACGAAAUAGCAGUGCAUCUACCAUGUAUUACAUGCCAAGAACAACAAAAAAGAAUGGGAACUAGGAAGGAAAGGAGCAGAAAGGGUUUAGCGAGGGUUUCCGGGAGCUUACACGGCGGGGACGUCGUCGCCGGCCUGGUCACAGACGAGCAGGGUCGCCGCGCCGACCUUCAGCUCGGCGCAGAGCAGGGCCGCCGCCUCCCCGUCACCCUUGCGCUUCGGGUGGGUGGAGCGGGACACCUCCUCCGCGGCGAAAGCGGCCUUGUAGAAGGCCACCGCCUCCUCGGCGCGCCCUGCCGGAACCGUCACCUGCACCUUCAGCCCGGAGAACACCGCCGGCGCCGGCACGGCCGCCGGGGCGGCGAGCACCUCAGAGCCGUUGGUCGCCACCUCCGCCAUUGCUCAGGGAAGAUUUGGCUCUCCUUUACUGUUGUGCGUUCCUUUCUCCUUGGGAGCACAGCAGAGUGGG
RNAcentral lists this long non-coding RNA (83933 nucleotides) under Setaria viridis. RNAcentral describes it as "long non-coding RNA (SVIR_LNC003337)". Lineage: Eukaryota; Viridiplantae; Streptophyta; Magnoliopsida; Poales; Poaceae. The record is from RNAcentral.